UCACAUUUUCGAAGGAUCUGGAGCUUGGUAAGAUCUUGGUGAGGCCGGGUUCGUUGUUCUUGGAAGACCUGACCACGUCAAGCAACUUCACCCGCGAAGGGUACGGGUCCACGACCCGGGUCUAUGUGGUAUCCAAACAAGAUCUGGGGAUGCCCCCGGAGUUCCAAAAGUGGAUGAUCGCAAGCAGCGGGGCGCACCACGUCGUGGAGGUGGACGGGGCGGAUCACAUGCCCAUGCUCUCGAAGCCGCAGGAGAUCUGUGAUUGUCUGUUGGAGAUUGGGGCCAAAUACGAACGUGCCUAACAUUUGCCACGGCAUUAGGGGGCUUUGGUUCUUCUCGAUGGUUUGCAAUUUCAUUUGUCGGAUUCUUGAGUUUGGUUUGUAAUUCCUUUUCAGUUCUCGCGUCGAGGUAAUCCAAAUCCAGCAACAGUCCAACCCAACCAUUUCAAUUCCGGGUGUCCUCGGUUUUUUAGCCCCAGCGUCGCACUCAUCAGUCAAUUCGUCACGUGAACUGUCCUUUGUUUAUUUUUUUUGGUCAGCACAUGAACUGUCUCGGUCACUCAAUGAAUGGGUUGUCUAGGUUUUUUAGCCUCAACGCGUACUCAGCACUCAAUUCGUUACGUAAACUAUCUGCAUAGAGUAGUGGACAAAAGGAAAAGGAAAAUGUGCGAACAUCACCUUUUGAAUUCCGACAAAUGGGUUGUCUAGGUUUUUUAGCCUCAACGCGUACUCGACAGUCAAUUCGUUACUUGAACCGUCUGCAUAGAGUAGUGGACAAAAGGAAAAGGAAAAUGUGCGAACAUUUUCAUGAUGAUGGACGGAGGCUAUAUGGGCUUAGGUGGAAACCUUUUUUUACACUACUUUUACGUCCAAAAAAGAUAUACGUAAAUUUAUUAUCUACCUAAUGUUGAUUUUCUUUUUUAUUUCCUCAAGUAGCACAAGGUUUUACUAAUUGUGGGAUAGAUGAUAAAAGGACAUCGUGUCUUGUAAUCAUCAAUCCCUAUUUAGUGUGGUCCGUGAGACUUUUUAUGGUUUUACUUCUUGAAUUUUGUUCGAGUUCAUAAGCAACGGUGGGGCGCACUGUCUAUAUUCAUUUGUGUCAGUAUACUGUUUUGUGUCAUUGAGGCUUCCUUUGUUUGACCAAAAAAAAGAAAAAUGCACGAUUUACAAUAUAUUUUGCUAAAAAAUCAUUUAUAUUAUUUAUAAAAAUAAAUAAGCGAUAAAUAUUUUCAUUAUAAAGAAAACGUUUACAAAUAAAUUAUUGUUGAUGAUGAAAAAUAAUUCAAUGACCAAUUAAUUUAAGCUAUAUGAGUAAUCAUUUCUAGAAAAAUAUUUUUCAAAUCAUUCAUUUUUUAUUAAAUAAAGAAAGUUCAAAACUUUCCAACAGAUUUUUGUUCAUGGUUCAUUCCCUUGCAAAUUUACUUAACAGAGAAAAUAUAAAUUCAGCAGUUUGUUUAAAGCUCAUGAAAGCUUAUAACUGCCUUAAAAACGUGAACUCGGAUAGAUGCAAGCAACCGCUUAUCCGUGCAAUUUCUGCACCAAGGUCAAGCGGAGAGAAACCUGCCUACACGCUACAACCCUUGAAUUGACUUUGACAACAUUGUUAAUCCAUCAAUAAAUUAGGGGUGAUUCGAUAGAAAGGUAUCUUUCGCCCGGGUAUCCAGCAUCAGUCAAAAUUUUCGUGCCUCCAACUGUUGAAGCAAAUGAAAAUGAAGCAAGAGCGGGGUCAGAUCUUCUGAACCUCAGGCUGUAAGUACUGUCGAUCCUAAAUGUAAAUGAACAUCUUCUUGUGCAGAUGAUUCGCCGCUUUCUUUUCAGGCGAUGCUUCUCCAAAUCCUGCAAUGCAAGAUCAUGUAAAAAUAAGUAAAUAUAUAUAUACAGAGAGAGGGAGAAAGUAUGUGAAAUAUUUUACCGGGGACGUACAUCUUCAGGCAAUGAAGGCGAGUUCAGCAAGUGGCCACUCGACAGGCGAAGAGAGGCUUUUCAGUGAUAGAGGGAGAAGGGAUUUCAGUCUCGUCUCGGCGGCUUCCUCCUUCGAUCCAUCUUGCAAGUGCAGGGUCACCCUUUUGGACAUAAUAUGACGAUUCCAGCGGCUUUUGUAACUUGGCGAUGCCGAUGGCUUUUUUCAAGGAAGAUGCUUCGAUCGGGUACUUCUUACGACCUCCACAUUCACAAUAAAUUGAUGGAUAAGGCAGUGGAUCACUCAGAUCUGGACGGCGUCGGGGCUGCGGCAGAGCUGAAUUGACCUCCAGAUCUGGACCUUGGUCGACCCUCUCCCUCCGGAACUCACUCUCUCCGGCUCCGACCUUCUGCGGCCUCGGCUUCUUCCGCUCCGGCUAGAUCUGGAUCCUAGGGUUGGCCGGCUCUCGGACCUCUUCUGAUGUCUCUUGGAGGAAGUGAUCGGAGCUGGCUACCUCGGAUCUCGGCCUGCUCGUCCCCGGGCCUCCCCUGAAGUCUUUCAGGGGAGGUUUGAAGCUUGCAGCCCUUGAUCCUUCGCGGCGUCGGUGGCCCUUCUCUUCCUCUCCGAUGCCCUAUUUAUAGGCGCGAAGGCCGGUCGACGGAGGCCUUGGCCGGCGGUCUUUGGCGCGCCGACCGGCCUCUCCCUCGACCGAACCGACGUCUCAUCUCAGCACUAAAGGCGCGCAUUGAAGGCGCCUGCGAGUCGUCCUCUCCUUCGGCGGCCUACCUCUAUUCCUCUCUGUCGUAGGCCGUCUUUGAGCGCGUCGCCAGCCACUGCGCGUGAGAUGCAGAGGCGAAGGAGGAAGAAGAAGACAGGAGGAAGAAGGAGAGAGGGGGGGGGGGGCCUAAGCUGAAGGAAAAAAAAAAGGGCUGGGCCCUGGGGCCCGCGCGGGAGAGAGAGGAAAGAAGGGGGCGGGGCGCGAAGGCCCAGUCUCGAUGGGCUUUCUUUUUUGUUUGUUUUUGUUAUUUAUUUAUUUUUAUUACUUAUUAUCCGAAAAUAAAGAUUAAAAAAGGAAAUUAAGGCCUAAUUUAGCCUAAUUAAAACUUAGGUGUCAACAAUAGUGAUCCAUAAAAAUAACAUAAUAGGAAAAGUCAUCUAUUAUUUUCACUGAAAUGUGACCCAAAACAUCAUUAUAAAUGAGUUCAAGAGUCGUUGGAUAGACUAUGUAGUAGUACCAAACAGAAGUUACUAGAUUGACAUGAUUUGCACAAAAGUCUAGAAUGUGACUUGGAAAUAGAAGGAAUUAACUUCAAUUUUGAAAGAAACUCUAAAAUCUUAUGAGAGCAAUGACCAAGAUGUCGAUGCCAAUCACUAGAGGUUGCAUAGACACCAAUCAUAGUGAAGGGUGGCAUAUGAGUCACAUGGAGUGAAGAUGGAAGUUCAUAAGUAUCAUUGUUAUUCAAGUCUCGAUGGAGAGUUGCCCUUGUGCACAAAUCCUUCACCAAAAGAUGGUCAAGAAAAAAUUCAAUAGAUGUUUGGUUAAUCUUAGAAAAUUUUAAAACAUAUAUUAAGUGUUUACUAAUAUCAAGGACACACAAAACAUCAGACAAUGAAUAUGAAACUGGGGGGUAGAGGCAAGGUGGGGCAAGGAAGUUUUGUUGAAUAUAUGUGUAUUAUUUGCAAAAUUUAGCCAUCGCCAUAACAAUUUUGUUUGUGCCUUCAUAAUUUGGAUGCAAAGAGAGAUUUUCUAGAUUUGAAGUCACAUGAUGAGAUGCUCCAGAGCGCAUGAGCCAUCCUUGCUCUGCUUGACGAGAUAACACUAUAUUAUUUUUGCACUAGGAGGAGAGAAGAAAUAUCGUUGACCUGAUAACAUUUGCUUGGUUGAGUGACUUACUCGUUCACAUAGUUGGAAUAGGAUUCAUGCUUUUUGAGUGGGUUGGUUAUGAUCAUAAUUUUUUCUCCUUUGCCAAUGAAAUUGUCAAGUUCACUAGGAGUUCGAACCUCGAUUUGAGAUGGAGUGCUGGUUGGUUUUCCUAUGAGAGACUUUCUUGGCAAAUUUUGUAGCGACAAGAGUUGAUUCGCCCUGACUCUCUUCCCUUUUAAGAUAUUGCUAGAAGUCAAUAAAUAUAUCAGAGUUCCUCAAAGGAAAUGGGUGAUUUGCGUUCUAUGAUGGAGAUAGUUUUCCUUGAAUCAGAGCUAAGCCCAUUCAAAAUAUGUGUUGUUAAAUCAUCAUCACGAAUGGGAGAAUUGAUGAUGGCAAGUUCAUCAGCAAUUCCUUUGAUGAUUUGUAUAUACUUAGCCACUGAUCUAGUGACACAUUUUGUGAGGAUUAAACACUCCAUGAGACUCAUGACAAAGCGAUGUGAAAGUUUGUUCCAAGCCUCAAGUGCUAUUUUGGCAGAUGCAAUUUGAGUCCGAAGUGAAAGCUAUGAUUGCUUGAAGCAAUAGUUGAUCUUGGCAUACUCAAUGCGAAUAAGAUGGAUUGGCAAUAGUUUUGCUAUCAAUAGUAGGUGUUAGACGAACAUAAUAUCAUUCCAUCAACAUACCCCAGUAAAUCAUAGCCUAGGAGCAAAAAGUUAUAUUGAGCCAACCAAGAAGGAUUAAUCAUUGACGUUAACUUGUAGGGUAGUUGCAUAGUUGCAUUAAUAGACACAAGAAUGGUGGCGUUAUUUGAAGAGGGGUCAUUGACUAUCAUAAGAGAGCUAGUGUUUGAGGAUCCUCCCACCAUUGAAAAAAUAAAAAAUAAAAAUUGAACAUUAUGCUUGUGAGCAGCAGGCUCUGAUGCAAAAAAGAAUUGGACAAAAUGCUCUUUUCUAUUAUUUCUUACAUGUAAUUAAUUUACAAAAUAGCUAAUGGUUUAUAGAAAGACACCGGCUAGAAUAACUGCAGUACAACAACUUUCCUAACUACGGCCUUUAUAAAUGGAAAGAUGAAAUCAUCUAUACAAAGGAAAGAUAAAAUGAAUUUGUUAGUUGUGGACACUCUCACUGCACUUUGCUAAGAGUACAAGAAUUGCUUAAUUGGUCUUCAUCUAAUUGAGAGUAAUAUUUUGAAUUACUUUGCUAUUCAAAGAUAUUUUCUCUAAUAUACCAAGAUUUAGCAAGAAAUUUAGGGUGCAUUUGUUUUAGUGAAAGUAUGUUCCAGGAAGAGUAUUUUAGACUUUCUCCCAUUUGGUUCAAUGAAAAUAACAAGUCAACCAAAAAUACUUUUCAGUGAGAUUUAUACAUAAAAUUAGAAAAGUGGAUUCCUAAAUCUAAAGAGGAAAACACUUUUUUUUUUCUGUCGUUUUUUUUUUCCUUUUUCCUCUAUUGGUUGUCGCAACAGGCCACAAGCAAAGGCUAGCGACCUCACCGAAAUCUGGUGCGCUUGAGCUCACUAGCCUCAGGUGAGCUCCAACCUCACUGAGAUUUGGCAAGGCUCAACCUCACCGACCUGCACCUGUGACCAGUUAUCAAAGACCAUUAAUUGGCAAAGGAAGAAGUUAAAAGAAAGAAAAGAGAAAAAAAAAAUAGAAUAAUAAAAUUUAAAAAAAUUUAAAAAUUCAAAUUUUAUAUUGUCCAAGAUAAAGUCAUGAGAUCGAAAUCAUUUUUUAAAUAAGAUACAAAUACCCAAAAAAAAAAUUAGACACAUAUCAACAAAGAAAGAAAAACUAAUCAUUUUCCUAAAAAUAAUUUUUAGAAAGCAUAUUCUUUGUAUCAUGAAAGUUUCUAUAAAAUAAAUGCACCCUGAUUUUUCUCGAACUCGAUAAUACAAGCUUGCAACCAAACUGGAAGUUAAAGAGGCAAAAUGAAAUCAAUGAGUUGGCUUGACUUAUCAUGCUCUUUUUCGGGUUAAAAAAAUCCGGGGAAACUGUCAUGACUGGGCCAGCAAUAUAUUCAUGCAGGGACGCCCUUGAGCUUGAUUCACUAGUGAUUCUUCGUAAGAAGUUUUUAUGACAUUGUACCAUGAGAAACCGUCAAGAAAACGUGAGAAGAACACGAAGAAGUGCUCGAGCCUCGCCGACCGUUGUGCUGGAUAGAGUGUCUGAGAUAUGGCAAUGUCAAAAGGUGAGUGCAGUCUUAUUCAAGAAACGUACUAAAAAAUUUCCAAAUCUAUUAAAAUUAUGUCCAUUCAAUUAUACACUUUUUUAUUAUGUCAAUUUAAUUCUAAACAUUUUCACAGUUCACCAAUUGAGUCUUUUUGACCUAUUUUGGUUAAAAAUCAUUGACAUGGACAUUGAUUGUUUUAUGUGACACGACCAAUGCUUAUAUAGACAAUUUAACCAUUUUUUUAAAAUGAAUUUUUUGUGACUUUAUUUUUUUUUCUUUUCAUUUUGGCUAGUAAGGGCAACAAGCUCUCUUCAACCACUAAUGAGGGUCAUAGCCCUCGCCUAGGCCCAUGUCACCCAUGUCCGAUGAGGCCAUUUAGGGCCUUCACACCCUCUCUCGUAGGAUGUUAGGCUGCCACUGGCUCUAGAUGGGGCUCGUAGCCCUUGCCAGCCAAAAUGAAAGGAAAGAAAGAAAGAAAGAAAGAAAAACUACUAAAAAAAUCUUAUUAAAAAAAUGUUCAUGUUAGUAAUGGCCGUGGUACAUAGGAUAAGUAGCAUUCGUGUCAACAAUUUUUUGCCAAAAUUGCCUAUUAGCACUAAAUUGGUACAAUUGAAAGAUAUGGGACCGAAUCGACAUAAUUGCAAUAGGUUUAAAAAAAUUUGGUACUUUUCCCUAUUUUCUCAUGUUAGUGGCUUAGGUUAAUGAAAUUAAUGAAGAUUGCGUGUAAAUGAUUUUAUAGAAAGAAAGGUACCAAGAGGGCAUUUCACAUGCCCAUAAAUGAUUGACAGCUCCAAAGUGAUUAUAAUGCAUGAUUGAAUUUGAAAAACCAAGUUACAAUCAAUAAGGGCUUGGGAGAGUCUCCAUUAAGCAUGAGCAUCACGUGACUUUGUUCUAGUUUCUCAAUUCAUUAGCUUUUUCCCUGUUGAUUCAUCUGGGCAACAUAUUUUUGGUUGUCCAUACUUCUUAACAUGUCUUAUCCUAAAUUAUAGAUGUUUAAAGUAUGCAAUUAUGUAGUAAUGGUCCCUAGUCCUACCUUUCCCUUACAGAAUAGAGACAACUAAUUUUGCAAGCUUAUCAUUGACAAUAAAGUUAAAAGUGAUUAAUUCAAUUUGAUUUACGGUUGAUCAUCCGAAUUACUUGAUGCCAAAUAUUCAAAUCAUCUAUUCUAGCUGGAAAAAAUGGAAUAUUCCAACUAAGUAAGUAAAUGCAAACAACCUAUUUUGAAUAGCCUCACCAUCUCGAAAAAUAAUUUGGUGCUUCGCCUCUGCUCUUUUCCUCUUUGUAUGUGAGGGUAGAGAACGAACCCUCGCCUAGAGGAGAGGAGUUAUAUUGCAAGCUUUACUUGAAGUCUGAAGGGCAUUGAUCAUGCGUAUCCUAAACUCACUUUCUCUUAUCAUAUCAAGUUCAUCUUCCCAGAUCAUCGGAGACAUAUGGUGUCCAUGUGUGGAGAGAGAGAGAGAGAGAGAGAGAGAGGGAGAGCUAGGGUAGGUGAAGGAUAUGUACCCCUGUCGAACAUCCAGGCCCCAGUACACAAUAAUAUGAAGUGGAAAUCGUGGAUGGGAUUAGGGUUGACCUCGAUGGCGAUUAUUAACUUUAUAAAAUUAACAAAAGAGAAAAUUUUAAAGAAAGGCUUAAAAUAUGGUCGUUUUCUUAAAAGAUGGUCCAGAAUUUUAUCUUAAAUAAGAGCUUAAAAUGAUCAAUAUAGUGUCAAACAAGGGCCUAGUAAUCAUAUGGAUCUCUCAGCCACUUUAAGUUAUGAUUAGAGGUAUUUUUGUCCAAAUUUAAAAUUUUUAAUCUUUUUUAAUCUUUUUCUUUCUUCUUCUCCCUUCUUCCUCUGGCCGACUCUCUGGUUCAUGUUCUCCUUUCACGAAAGUGGCCAUUUCUUCAUCAACGGCAGGAGCUUUACAGCAAUUGAUGAGUGCAAUUGACAACGACGGCUUGGGCUUGGAUUGAGCAUGUGUGACUUCUCAAAGAAGAGCAAGUUUGGUAUAAAAAGGUUGAAGGUUUGAGAUAAAGGGUCCACUCAAGCCAAGAGCUACCUUGUCUCGAUAGGGAUUGACGAGGACCAAAUAUAAUCAUAGCCAGAACAUAAAACAUAAGCCAACCACUCUUUCUCUGAGGAUAAAUUAUUGACCUUUGAACAUAUUGAAUCAUGGUAGAGUAAAGAACAUCAAUGUUUUGAACGGCUGUGUUAUUAGUGUCAAGUUCUUCAAAGCACGUUGAUGCUUCUAUUGGAGUCCCACAAUAGACAAACCCAUGCGGGCAGGCUAGCAAGGCCUCCUCUUGCCAAACCUCGGCAAGGGUAACCCUUGCUGGUGGUUGCCUUUUGUUGACAUCUAAUUUGUAUUUUCAAGCACAUAUAAAAUAUUUUGAUUAAAAAAAAUUUAAAAAAUUAAAAUUAAAAAGAAUUAAAAAAAUUAUUAAAAAAAUCGUUAAAAAAAAAGGAGCCGUAGGGGUCAGGUCGGGCCGGAUCCAGCCUUGGCCCUACCUACCCCCUCUUCCUUUUCUUCUUCCCCCCGCGUGGGCCUGGCCCUUUUCCUUUUCUUUUUUUUCCCCCGCGCGGCCUAGCCCUUUCUUCCCUUCGGCCGAACCUUGAGUGCCCCCCAUCUAUUUGUCCAAAUGCCGAGAUGAAUCUUGCUUUGCCGUCCUUGACUUCAGCCCUUUUUGGUCAUCCGAGCAUCGUCGCGGUCUAGCCAUAGGCCAAGCCGUGUCCCUACCUGGUCAAAGUAGGAGCAUCACGCUCUGGUUAGUCGUCGCUUGCACUAGUCACCGUCGCUACCGCCGCUUCCCCUGUCGCAACUAGAUAGUCGCAGGGUAGGGGCUGCGAGCUAGCGAAACGCUAGCCUCGGCCAACGUGUUCACCAUAGCUGUUGGAACUCCCGACUCCAGACGUCGAGGGUCACUCUCGUUCGCCCAGUUGAAGCGGCACCGUCGCAGCCCUCACCGGAGGGGUCGUUUGCAUCGCGCACCUUGUCGUCCCCUACUGUGGAGUAGGGUCGAGGGCCGAGCUAGGCUAGAUCUAUGCGGCCCUCUUUCAUUCGAGCUUGCGAGAGACCCUAUCAGAAGAAAGAAAAAAAAGAGUUGGGCCUAACCCUCUAUCAAAUGCAGGCCCCACCACGGCUGGUCGGGCCUGGGCCUUACGGGCGAGCUGAUUGGCCCACCCCAAUCGGGCCGAACUUGUGCAUGUUAAGUCGACCCACCCAACCGGGUCAUAUUUGGGUCGGGUCAAACUCGACCCGACCCGACUUGGUUCGCCCAAAAAAAUAUAUUUUUUCAAAAAAAAAAUCGAAAAUUAAAAAAAUGUAGGGUUUGGUUAGGAAUUGUCAUGUCUUGCAUUCUUAGUAUAAUUAGACAUUUAUUUGCUCGUAUAUUGAUAAUAUCACAUGUUUAAUUUGCAUAAUUUAUUAUGUUUAAUUGCACGUGCUAAAGUUUAAUGCAAUUAGGAUUCUGGUUGCAAAUUGAUACUUUAAUGAUUGCGCACCCACAUUAUCAUCUUACAUGUUAGUGGAUAUAUGUAAAACAAUCCAAUCUGCUUGAUAAAAAUAUAUAUUUUUUAAAUGAACAAAAUUAGGUACCAAAAUGGCACUAAUUGGUCAAUUAGUGUAAUUAAGUCCCCGACCCUAGAUUCUCUGGUUGCGUAGGAAGUGAUGUACACUCUCAUGUAUCAUUUGGUUUCUAGCCAACCCCAAUAGGUUAGUGGCGACUCUUUUUUGUGAAUUCUUAAAAAUUCCCUAAUGUCACGCGAGGUAUGGGCUUGGGAGAGCCCGCGCCUAAUCAUCGGCCUUAGGUCCAUCAUUUAGGCAAUACCUCUAAACAUGUCCUCUCCCCCCCCCCCCCCGAGGGGUAGGUCGCGAUAGUUUGGUGACUCUGCUAAGGGCUUGGUUUUAGACCUUAGAGGACUUAAGCUAGAAUUGAUCUUGUUCACAAAACAUUUUUGUUUGGCAGCGAAGAUAUCAGGUACAUCCUUAUCGUGUCAGGUAUUAAAUGGUCAUGCUGAAUGAGGGGUAUAAGGAGAAGUAUUGCUAACCCUUGUUUUGUAGGGGGUGCUAUAAUGAAUGGUUUAUUUACGCAUGAAGUGCUAUUUGCUUAUAAAUUGUCAUGCCUGCGUUCCCUGCAUUGCACUACACCAUGGCACACAUUACCUAUCGCCAGACCUGGGCUGCAUAAGAUCACCUAGCAUGGUGUUGAGAUGGAUACCACUCCGAUUACAACCAUAUAGUAUGAGUUGCCCAUCUCAAUCUUGAAAUUUCCAUCCUAAUAUCAAAGGUCCCCACCCUAGUCUGCAACCAUGCGAUACGAGUCGGUUCUUUGACGAAGCCGGAGUCAUGGUUAACAUGAUCUAGCCACGAUCUUGUUGGUUCGGUACGGUGAUCCUAUGGCUCCAUUUUGAGCCGUCUAGAGUAAAAAUUGAACCACUGCCCAUGUGCAUGUCUAUGUCAUUGGCAUUGCUACUUAAUGAGUAAGGUAAGUUUUUCGAAUUCUUUUCAUCGCAAUUUACUUAUUCGCCUUUUUUUUUUGUCGGUUCAUGACAAAUUAGGUUAGUUGUAACUUUGAUUAGCAUACAAUGGGGGUACCCGGCUUCGCAUCAUUUCCGCCCCUAAAGGAGAGCCUCCGCCUGAAGAUUCCUGAAGUGCCAUUGAAGAUCACCAAUCGAGCUGAGAUCAAGCGUCUCAAAAGGAAGCUCGAGGAGCAUGCCUCGAAGUUGACCCGAGUUAGUGGGGCUACCACGAGCGGAAGUUAUCCUCAUAGUUAGAUUGAGUCAAGUGUGGUAUGUAGUGGGACCAUGCUUACAUAUGUUACAGUGUUAAGGAGUUUAUCUCAAGUCUCAAUGUUGAGAGUUAAGAGAGUGUCUUUCCGUCUUCAAAAUAGUUUCGUUGUUUAGGGGUUCUCCCUCAUAUCUUGCAUUAUGUAGCAACAUUGCUUUCAAUGAAAUGAACGAAUUAGGAUGAUUAGAUCUCUAUCAUGGGCCGACCACCUGUUUAUUUCUUGUGCUUAUAUACGCUUAUUUACCCUUUCGCCAGGUGCUACCCAAUCGAUUAUCUUCUGUCAAUUGUUGACACAAACAAACGGAGAUCUCCGAUUUGCACUUGAUCGAAAACCAGGAUGGAGAACAAGGACACUAACACACGCAUGGUCAAGAUGGAUGACCCGUUAGCCCAACUUACCGCAAUGAUGCUAAAGAUAAUCCAAAAGUUCAAAGAGCCCCCCGUCGUAGCUAUUGCUAGGACAUCCACUCUUACAUCGUAAGGACAUGUUCCCCCGUUAACGGGAGACCCACAUGUCACCAACCUUCUGGGAAAGGAAACUGCCGAAGAAGCCCCUUUUGUCACGCCAAUUGUCGUCAACUUAGAUCCUCCUCGGAAGGAAGAGCUAACACCCCACCUAGAUAGAGAGAGCGAAAAGCACCUGGCUAAGAUGAAGGAGUGAUUGUGCGCCUUACAAGGAUACGAACUGAAAGGAGCCGACAAGCUGUCCCGGUAUAACAAGACGAACUUCCCCGAGACUUUCCAAGAGCCUGAAUUUAUGAGAAAGUAUGACGGAACAGGAUGCCCUAAGACUCACCUUAGGUACUACUUGAGGAAAAUGGCUCGUUAUGCUGAGAACGUGCCCUUUCUCAUUCACACGUUCCAAGAUAGUUUAUAAGGUAUUGCCUUGACGUGGUUCAUCACGCUAGACAUCAAAGAGUUCACCAGCUGGGAGGGCUUGGCCAAUGAAUUCCUAUAGCAAUACAAGUUCAACACCGAGCUCACUCCCAUGAGGGAAGAGUUGACCCGGGUAGAAAAGAAGAGGAAUGAGUCAUUUAAGGCCUUCGCGCAUAUGUGGAGAAUCAUGGCCUCACACGUGAAACCGGCCUUGAAUGAGAGGGAAAUGAAGCAGCUAUUCCUCAAGACAUUACCGCCUGAAUACUUUCGAGGAUUAGUGUACUCAAGAUGCCAGACAUUUUCACAACUGGUAGAUGUGGGUGAAGGAGUCGAGUAAGCAAUCAUCAAGGAAAUGAUAUCUAUCGAAAGCGCUAAGAAAUUCCCAGUGAGAAAAGAUAAGGAAACUGCGGUUGAAAUAGCGCUAGUGCAAGAGCCAUUUCUCUCAGGCCACAUUCAACACCUGCACAUAAGCCUGUAAUGGCCCAAGGGAGCUCAUCUCGGACAUAUGACAAGGGCAAGAGACCCAUUCGAAGGGAAUUUUCCUUGUUACCGUGCCCAUUGUCGAAGCUGUUGCCCAUGCUCCUCAAAAAGAGGAUAGUUGCGAAGGAAGUACCUAAUGACAACCCCAUGAAGUUAGCCGGGUUCAAUGUGACCAAGAUCUAUGAGUACCACAUGGGAGAAAGGGGGCAUUAUGUAGAUAAUUGCUACAUGCUGAAGUACAAAGUCCAAAAACUGCUAGAUGGGGGCAUCUUGACUUUCAAGGAAGUUUAGCCUAACGUGCAACAGAAUCCCUUACCAAAUCAUGCAGAGGGAGUGAACUCAAUUUUCGAUGAGAACAUCAUAUGCAUCAUCCUAACGUGUGAGGGAGCUAAGUCCUCCAAAGUCGUAGUUGUCCCCCUAGAGUAGGGUGAUUCUUGUUUAGCUCAAUCUUUUGUCUUAUGUCCAAUCCCUUGCAUGGGAUCUCUUUGUUAUUUCUUUCUUGUCUAUGUCGUUUGUAGCGUGAACUAUGGACAGCCAUAAUCUUGAGCCAUUGGUUGAGGGUGAUGUGUGUUAAAAUACAACAUUAUCUUUUUCUCAUUUGAUAAACUAGAUGCAUGUUUUAUUUAGGACAUGUGGAAGCAAAUCAAACUAGUCCUAUGAUGGUCGUUGAGGCUGGGCCUCCACAUGCUCCCAAGUUUGACUGUUUUGCAAGGACGAGGAAAUAUGAGGAUAUGAGGAUGAGUUCUUGAAAUGUUUUACAAAAAAUACUUCAAAAAUAAUUCUUCGAAAGCGACAUGCAUGAUAUUUAUUGUUGACGUGCCUUAACUUAUCUCGUCACAUCCCAGACAUUUCAUUAUGCAUAAUCAUGAUAAAGACUCAUGUGACCCGAAGUGUAGGAAGAAAGUCUCUCAAGUUCUGAUGACAUCGAUGUUGAUUAGAAAGGGAUCGAGCGUGAAUGGAAUCGACAUGAGCAAAUGCUAACACAGUCAAUAAAUAUUUUCCACGAAUGAAAUCAAUGCCACGGAGCCACUUCAUGCACAAUCCAAGUCGCAUAGCAUCGUAGAUAUCAUACAUAUGUUACAUACAUGCAUAUCUAUUUGUGUUUCAAGCACCUUACCGUUCGAUAAGGAAAUGGCAGAGGAAAAGUCAAUUCAAGGACCCAUCGAGUCUCUGCACAUAUAGCUAAGUAUCUCCUUAAAUGAGAGGUAAAUCAAGAUGGGACCCAAAAAAAUAAGAACAAAAAUGCAGUGCAUCAUUUGCAUGACCUAUUUUCGAUGUCACUAUGCGUGCUUCGUGUCAGUGAGCCUCGAGAAAAAAGCCUCAUAAAAAAAGAUUUUAUUCGAGCAAAAAGGUGAAAUGUUAAUCAUGCCAAACAAGAAGUGCUUAGGAUAAAGAAAGGUAAACCAUUUCCAAAUACAUAUUUCAAACACUUUUGAGAGUUGAGUGAAAAUCGACAUUCUCUCAGGACAAAUGAUUCAUUCUCAUUGAGCACAAAGAUUGAAAUGAUAAAGGCGUUUCCUUCAUUAAUCCCAAGCAUUGUACUAAUACAGGCAUUUCCUUCAUCAAUCUGAAGCAUUGUACUAAUAAAGGUGUUUCCUUCAUCAAUCCCAAGUAUUGUACUAAUCUCUUGCUACCCCUUCGGGCCGAAUAAAGAUAAUCCUUCAAAGUACCCUUGUUGAGAACGACUUUACAUUGGGGCAGCAUAGGAGGUUACAGUUGUAUUAUAGAGUGAAAGCUUCAAAGGAAUUCUCAUCACUUUUAGUUGCAUCAAUCUUCUGGUGAUAGCUUCAAAGGAAUUCUCAUCAAAGCUUGACUCAUCCCAAGAUGAAGAAGAACAUUUCCUUCUCUACCUAAUUACUUAUACCCGUUGCUUUAACCAAUUUGGGUUUGAUUGUUCAUUUCUGAACCUUGAGCAGUGAUCAUCUCCCUUCACCGAGGCAAGGCAUAAGGAUUGACCACAUACAAUUGACAUUUACGAGAAAACGUGAAAAGCAUCUCGAAAGUCAUAAGAGCUCCAAAAGUUCAAAUAGCAAAAGGUUCGACAAAAUUAAGGGGCAUGAAAAAGUAGUGUGCCUGGUAAAAGUAAGGCUAAUGCCCAUCAAGAAAGCCAAAAGGCCGCAUCUUAUGUGUCAAAAUCCAAGUGCUUGCGUAAAAAAAUUAUCGCAAGUGCAAAGGAAAUUAGAAAAAUGAGCAAAGCUCCCAUGCAGAAAUGAUUAGUCAAUGGACUUUUGAGAUGUGCCGUGUUUCGAAAGCUAAAUGAUUUCAAAAUAUCAAGUGACCUGGUCACGAUGCUAUGAUAAUCACUAACUCUUAAGAACCCUCUUGAAAAUUUUAAGCCUUUUGAGCCUUUCCCAAACCAACAUUACAAUCCUCACCUAAAGUCUCUUUCGAUUAGGAUAGUUCGAGUGAAAAUGAGAAUGCCACAAAGAAGCUACCACUUGAAGGAGUGGAAGCAAUUCUAUCUUGUCUUAUCUUUCAAGUUCUCGAUUUGUAAACUCGAUGAAGAUAGUGACAAAUGUUCUUUUAUUGGCCUUAAAGCAAUAAUCCCUUUGUGUAAGCUCAUGACCAAACCUAUAUUGUGGUCAUUUCAAAAGACCUUUUUGAUCAAUCAGAUUGUGCUCAUUGCGAAUGUUUCUAAAAGCCUAUGACAUGGGAUACCCUCAACAAUCAGUUACUUCCCACACUAAUGGAUGAGAUCAAGCAGCCAUUUAAUCGAGAGUGUGUGAGAAACCCUUUAUGACUAAGAAGCUCUAGUUUGGCAUGCUUAAUGAGCCAUUUUCACGAGUCAUAGCCAUUAUAAUAAGAACUUGACUCCUAAAGAAUUUUAUAAUUAAUUAUACAUCCCCAGACAAGAUGACAAUUUUGUGUCACAUGAUGCUGAUUGACAUUGAAUGUUUUUUUAAAGCAGUUGGACUUAGCUUGUUCAAUUAAUGCUGCAAUAUUGCCAAUACAUCUCUUGAUGACGUCUCUAAUGACAUUUGCUCAAGUUGAGUUUGACAAGAUUUCCCAAUGAAGCCAUGCAUUUUUCAAGGGAUUAAUGGAUGCUUCCCUAAAGACCACAAAGGUUCAUGAUCAACCUUAAACCAUGUCAUCGCCAAAGGUUCAUGGUCGACCUUAAACCAUGUUAUCUACAAAGGUUCAUGAGUUGUCCUCAAACCAUGUAUUUUCAACCUAGUCGAAACCUGUUGUUACACGGUGAGACUUUAUCUCUUUCUUCUCAAGACACGGAGUACUUCUGUAAUCUGGAAUCUUUCUCUUUCUUCCUAUGACACGGCGUGCUUCUGUAACUCGGGGUCUUCUUUCUUCUUAUAACACAACGUGCUUUUGUAGCCCGGGAUCUUCAUUCUUUUUAUGACAUGACGUGCUUCUGUAGCCCGGGGUCUUCUUUCUUCUUAUGACAUGGCGUGCUUUUGUAGCUCAGGGUUUCUCUUUCUUCUUAAGACAUAGCGUGCUUCUAUAACAAGACACGGCAUGCUUCUAUAGCCUGAAGUCUCUCUUUCUUCCUAUGACACAGCGUAAUUUUGUAGCCCGGAAUCUCUCUUUCUUCUUAUGACACGACGUGCUUCUAUAGCCCGGAGUCUCUCUUUCUUCCUAUGACACGGCGUGCUUCUAUAGCCCGGGGUCUCUCUUUCUUCCUAUGACACGGCGUGCUUCUAUAGCCCGGGGUCUCUCUUUCUUCCUAUGACACGGCGUGCUUCUAUAGCCCGGGGUCUCUCUUUCUUCCUAUGACACAACGUGCUUCUGUAGCUAGAGGUCUUUCAUUCUUCUUAUGACAUGAAGUGCUUCUGUAGUCCAGGGUCUUCCUUCUUCUUAUAACACGAAGUGCUUCUGUAGCCCAGGGUCAACAUGCUUCGAUAGCCUGGAGUCUCUCUUUCUUCCUAUAACACGACGUGCUUUUGUAGCCCGGAGUCUCUCUUUCUUCCUAUGACACGGCGUGCUUCUAUAACCCAGAGUCUCUCUUUCUUCCUAUGAUACAGUGUGCUUCUAUAGCCCGGGAUCUCUCUUUCUUCCUAUGACACAACGUGCUUCUGUAGCCAUAGGUCUUUCAUUCGUCUUAUGACACGAAGUGCUUCUAUAGCCUGGGGUCUUCCUUCUUCUUAUGACACGAAGUGCUUCUGUAGCCCGAGGUCUUCCUUCUUCUUAUGACACGAAGUGCUUCUGUAGCCCGGGGUCUUCCUUCUUCUUAUGACAUGGCGUGCUUCUGUAGCCUAAGGUCUCUCUUUCUUCUUAUGACACGGUGUGCUUCUGUAGCUCAAGGUCUUCUUUCUUCUUAUGACACAGUGUGCUUCUAUAGCCCAGAGUCUCUCUUUCUUCCUAUGACACGGUGUGCUUUUGUAGCCCGGAGUCUCUCUUUUUUCCUAUGACACGGCGUGCUUUUGUAGCCCGGAGCCUCUCUUUCUUCCUAUGACAUGGCGUGCUUCUAUAACCCGGGGUCUCUAUUUCUUCCUAUGACACAACAUGCUUUUAUAGCCCAAGAUCUUUCCUUCUUCUUAUGACACGAAGUGCUUCUGUAGCCCGGAGUCUUCAUUCUUCUUAUGACACGGUGUGCUUCUGUAAUCCGGGGUCUUCAUUCUUCUUAUGGCACGGCAUGCUUUUGUAGCUGGGGGUAUCUCUUUCUUCUUAUGACACGGUGUGCUUAUGUAGCCCGGGUCUCUUUUUUCUUAUGACACGGCGUACUUUUAUAACCCAAGGUCUUACUUUCUUCUUAUGACACGGCGUGCUUCUGUAGCCUAGGGUCUCUCAUUCUUCUUAUGACACAGUGUGCUUCUGUAGCUUGGGGUCUUCCUUCUUCUUAUGACACGGCAUACUUUUGUAGUCCGGAGUCUCUCUUUCUUCCUAUGACAGGGCAUGUUUCUGUAGCUCGGGGUCUCUCUUUCUUCCUAUGACACGGCGUACUUCUGUACCUUGAGGUCAUUCCUUCUUCUUAUGACUCGGCGUGCUUUUGUAGCCCAGGGUCUCUCUUUCUUCUUAUGACACGGCGUGCUUCUGUAGCCCAAGGUCUCUCUUUCUUCUUAUGACACGGCGUGCUUCUGUAGCCUGGGUAUCUCUUUUUUCUUAUGAUACGGCGUGCUUUUGUAGCCUGGAGUCUCUCUUUCUUCUUAUGACCCGGUGUGCUUUUGUAGUCCAGAGUCUCUCUUUCUUCUUAUGACACAGUAUGCUUUUGUAGCCUAGGGUCUUUCUUCCUCUUAUUAACAAGAUGCACUUCCAUAGUCAUUAGUCCUUUCCGUCGACCUAAUACGUGCCUAUGCACCUAGGGUCUCUCUAUCGUCGAAAUAAUUUAGGUGUCUUAUAUCUUUAAAUGCAACCUCUUCGAGACUACAUUAAAAAAAGGGGCAGAUGUUGACACCUAAUUUUUAUUUUAUUUUUAGUAACCCAGGGAACCCCGUAAGCCAACAGUCGACGAGCAAACCCUGGAGGAGCAACUGCAGGACUGUCGCGACCAAAUUUUUCGGGUGUGAUCCACCUAGGGUUUGGCUAAUGGAUUGUUAAGCCUAGACUUAACUCGGGCCCUCCCAAGCCUGUACCAAUUCGCGACUUUAGGUUCAAGUUCUUAACAUGUAAUUGAUUUUUAACUAGGAGUCGCCACUAAUCUAUUUUUGGUGGGUCGAUUAGAAACUCAAGUAAAGUAACAGGAGAUUUACUUUACUCCUACAAACCAGAGAUUUGGGUACGGGGACUUGGUUACGCUAAAUUUCUCUAACACCCUUUCGAUACAAAUUCUUUUUAUUUUGACAAAAAGGUUUUGCAGGCAGCUUGAAUUGAUUUUAAACUAUUUCCCUAACAUGUAAGGUGAUCAUACGGGUGCGCAAACCACCAAUUUAACACCCAGAUAAACAAUAAAUAAAUUGCAAAAACUUACCUCCAAGCAACGAAAGCAUCUGCAAUGUUAAAUUAAAAUCCACAUCAACAACCCUAGAUAUGGUUUCUAAUUAACACGCAAUUUUUUAUUUUCACUUAAUUAAUGAAAAUCAUGCAAUAUGCAAUGCAAUAUUAACUAAAUGACCUAAUUCUAAUGACAUGUAAUUUCUAAUUAAAUGGGCCUAGCAAAAAUACUAAAUGAUAUACAUCUCAAUGAAUCUAACCCUAAUGACAUGCAUAUGGCAUUUUUUCUUUUUCCUAAAAUAAUGCAUUUUAUCCUAAACAAUAAAACUAAUUUAACCUAUGACUUUUUUUGUAUUUUUCAUGAAAUUUGAAAUUAGGUGAAAUGUGAAAAUUACCUAAUUAGAUUAAGAUCCUAAUUAAUUUAUAUUAGGAAUUAGGUUGAGCCAAAUCCUAAUUUAAACUAAAAUAUUUUCUUAACCUAAAUAAUCCUAAAAUGCAAUCUAUUUGAUAAAUACAUAAACCUAUAAUAAAUUAAGAAAAACAUCAUCUAAAAUUAAAAUAAAUGCAAUUUCACCCUAAUAUGCAAUGACGUGCAAAAAAUGCCCUAAUUUUACAUGACAUAUGCAUAAUGACUUUUUUUUUGUGUUUUUCCUUUUUUUCCUUUUUUUUUUUGAAAUUUCGAAAUUAAUAAUUGCCAAAUAAUUAAAUAUGCAAUUUAGACUAGUGAAGCACAAAUCUAACACCCUAAUUUUUUUUUUGUAUUUUUCAUUUUUUCAAAAAUUCGAAAUAAAUAAAUUUCCUAUUCUAGACAUGCAAAAUAAUCUAAAACAAGUAACGUCCUAACAUGCAUCUAAUCUAACUCAAAUAUUUUUUCUUUUACGGGAGCAAACAAAUAAAGCAUCAAGAAUAACACGGCACCAAAUCAAGCAAGACAUCAUCCACGUCCAUUUAAUUUUGGGAACUAAAUUGACGAAUCAUAUCUCGCGCAUGAGAUCGGAUUGGCCAAUUUUUAAAUAAAAUCACGAAUCAUAUCUCGAGCGUGAGAUCGGAUUGGUGAUUUUUCCGUACAAUUGCGGGUCGUAUUUCGAGUGUGAAAUCGGACCGUCAAUCAUAUGUACGUUGCGAAAUUAGGAAGAUUUCCCAAUUUAAAAGGCUAAUCGUGUUGCGAAUAUCAUGGCAUAUUGGGAAUUUCCAUCACGUGCACCGAUGAGUAUAUCAAAUAAGGAAACGAAAUUUUCGGAAAUUAACAUAGACAAAAUUCUUACCUAUCCCAAAUAUUUGCUUCCAAAUUUGGCCUUCGAACAGCGGCUCGUGAAUCACGGUAGAGGUUCAACGUGAUAGCACAAGGACGACGGGAUGACUCACGAGCGGCAGCUCAAGAUGACGUGCUGCUCAAAGAUGGUGUCUCGCUCAGUAAGUGGUGGCUGAUGCUUCGCUGAUUCGGCUUGGCAAAGUCAACGAGGAUGACUAGCACAGCAGGGGGUGCAGCCACAAGAAGACUAGAACAGCAAUGGGGAGAGUUGUUGCAAAAUAGAAACCCAAUAAGAUUGUCGACUAGAUGAGGCAGCGAUCCCUUCGCAGAGGGGUAGCAUCAGUUAGCGUUCAUCAGUGGAGGAUCAGCGCCAGCGGGCCAGGGAGUAAUGGUGCCAGUGCGUAGCAACAAUGAAACCAAAGCAGCAACGCGGUUGGGUGCAACAACUCGGACUCGGUUGACUUCUCAGGUGGCACGUAUGCAGGGAGCAGCUUGGCCGUCGUCGACACCUCACCAGGGCAACAGCACGAUGUGGCGGUGAUGGAGACAAAAGCACGACCCCAAGUCUGGCCGUGGAAGGGGCGGAUGCGUGGAAGGAGCAUCUCAGCCAAGAGCUGGUCGAGAUUCCUCGCGUAUGCUCUACUCUCUCUCUCGUGUGUCUCUCUGAAAUUCGAAAAUCCCCCCUCCUCUCUCAGUUUACUGCUCUAUUUAUAAUAUGGCAGCUCCAAGUUGAUUGAAUACGUGCUGAAUAUUCCCUUUUUGAUUUUAUUUCUUCAAAUUGAAUAUCAGCUUGCAAGUUUUGUCGAUUUCUCCCCUUUCUUGCCGUGAAUAGAUCCAUGGGCAUAUCCAACAAUAUUUCUUUCUCUGUCCUUGAGUUGAUGCAGAGAAUUCGUUUCCCUUUUGCUCAAGCUCAUGGAUGCGUGCGAUUUCUUUGAUGGUGCACUCUUUCUUGUUUUAAAACAAGAAGUAAUGUAGCAUAAAUACCAAUAUAUUGAUUCUUUCAACUUUCUCGCUCGUAUCCCUUUUCUUUCCUACUCUCUACCAGCUGUCAUUUCCACCGCAUCCUUCCUUUCCUUAAUUAUUGAAAGUAGCGUGCCCACACAAAAUUGAAAGAAUUUUUGCAUGGGUCAAUGGGUCAAAACUUUCGCUUAACAGAAUUAAAAUUCUGGCAUUAAGAGGGUGCGGUCAUCAUAACCUUUCAAUGAGCUUGACCUCGUUUUUCCGUCCAGUGGACUGGAGAUGUUUCGAAGCCGCAGCCAGCUGUGAGAUUGUGUUCCCAUCGUCAUCAUACAAGGUCAUCUGCAUCUCCAUCUUCAACAACUUCUUGGGCGCAUCGGACUUAUCGUUCUUCACUGCCAGGUGAAGUGCGGUCUCGUCGUGAAUGGUGCAAUGAGCUCUAAAGAACCGCUUCCCCCCCCCCCCCCCCAGUUCACUCUUCCAGGGUCUUUUAGGGGUCUUCUCCGAGCUUCUAACACGCCUUCUNNNNNNNNNNNNNNNNNNNNNNNNNNNNNNNNNNNNNNNNNNNNNNNNNNNNNNNNNNNNNNNNNNNNNNNNNNNNNNNNNNNNNNNNNNNNNNNNNNNNNNNNNNNNNNNNNNNNNNNNNNNNNNNNNNNNNNNNNNNNNNNNNNNNNNNNNNNNNNNNNNNNNNNNNNNNNNNNNNNNNNNNNNNNNNNNNNNNNNNNNNNNNNNNNNNNNNNNNNNNNNNNNNNNNNNNNNNNNNNNNNNNNNNNNNNNNNNNNNNNNNNNNNNNNNNNNNNNNNNNNNNNNNNNNNNNNNNNNNNNNNNNNNNNNNNNNNNNNNNNNNNNNNNNNNNNNNNNNNNNNNNNNNNNNNNNNNNNNNNNNNNNNNNNNNNNNNNNNNNNNNNNNNNNNNNNNNNNNNNNNNNNNNNNNNNNNNNNNAUAUGGCUGCACAAAUAUAAGAUUCAACACUCAUGUAUUGAGAAAAAAAAAUUGGCUUAAGGGCGCCACUAAAUUCCAAACCGAAAAGGGAUGAAAAGUCAGUGAUAAUAGUGAGCUGAUUGAUGAUAACACCAUGUGACAAUCAUCACAAGCUUUUAUACAUGUAUGCAAUUUGACACAUUGAACUAUGAAUUUCCUAAAUCAGCUUAGAACUAGUCAGUUUCGACCCUGUCCUGACGAUGCUUCCACAGUUUAGCAUGUGAGCUGUUUACGCUUCUAUCCAAACACAUCUACUUGUCUUGCAUCAAAUAGCACCAAAACACCACAUUGACAUGGCCCUUUCUUUUUCUUUUUUUUUCUUUUUUUUAGGGGUUAAAAAUUAAUCCCUAAUUUUUAUGUAAUAAGUAAAUGACUGGGUCGCCAAAAUUUAGGUGUCAACAAGGACUCACCACCACAGUACUUCAAGUAAGAAUCCCUAACAACGCCUCUGGAAUUCGAACUUCUCCCCUGCGUGAGGAGGAGAGAGCCCGAGCCAGCUGCGCCAUUGCUGGCGGUGGUAUGUUGACACCUAAUUUGUACUUUCAAGAAAUUAUAAAAAAUAUUUAUUAAAAAAAUCGUUUAAAAAGAAAAGAAAAGAAAAGAGCCGAGUGGUAGGGUCGAGCUGAAUCCAACCUUGGCCUGGCCCGCUCCCUCUUCCUUUUCUUCUUCCUCUUGUGUGGGCCUAGCCCUUUUCCUUUUCUUUUUUCCCACGCGCAGCCCAACCCUUUCUUCCCUUCGACCCGGCCCGUGCCCCUAUUUUCUCCUUCGGCCGCCUUCCGCACGAGGAACCUGCGAAAGCAAAAAGCAGGGCCGCCACAGCAGAAUCUCGGGCAAUUGCAGGGCAGAGCAGGAUCGCGUGGGGGGGGGGGGGGGCAAUGCAAUCCAAAGGUCAAAGUAGGCUAACAGAGAGCUGAUUGGUGAGAUGAGGCCACGUGCAGGAGCUGAGUAGAACAAAAGGGGAGAAGAGAGAGAACAUAGGAGGGGAGAGAACAGGGGAGAACCGAGGAGGAAGAGAGUAACAAUCAGUGGAGGUGAAGCCGAGGAAGAGGAAACCCUCCCCCUAAGUCGCAGAUCACUGUCGGAGCCGCAAACCACCUCCAACUCUGCUAGAAUCCAGGUAAACAUUUUGCCUAAUAUUUGGUGUGCAUAGCUUGAAGCUAAGCGGACCGAAGCUCGUUCUACCCGUUUCGGGCAAGCUCCGAUCUCCGUAAGUCCCUGUUUGAUUCAUCGUUGGUUGCUGGUUGUUUGCUGUGGAUCUCGGACCCACCUUGAGUCCCAGUUGCCUCUAGAUUCUUAUGAGUCCCAAGUGUCCCCCAUCUGUUUGUCCAAAUGCCUAGCUGAAUCCUGCUUUGAUGUCCCUAACUUCAGCUCUUUUUGGUCGUCGAAGCACCAUCAUGGUCUAGCCGAAGGCCGAGCCAUGUCCUUACCUGGUCGAAGCAGGAGUGUCACGAUUUGGUUAAACGUCGCUCGCGCCAGUCGCCGUCACCACUUCCCUUAUCGCAACUAGACAGUCGCAAGGCAGGGGUCGCAGGCCGGCAAAACACCGGCCUUGGUCAACGUGUUUGCCGCAACCGUCAUAAUCCCCUACUCUAAACGUCAAGGGUCGCUCCCAUUCACCUAGUUAAAGCGGUGCCGUCGCAACCCUAGCUGAAGGGGUCAUUUGUGUCGUGCGCCUCGCCAUCCCCUACUGCGGAGCAAGGUCGAGGGCCAAGCUAGGCCAGAUCACAGAUAUGGCCCGGCCAACCCUCUUUUGUUAGGGCUUGCAAAAAGGCCUUGUCCAUAAGAAAGAAAAAGAGAGUUUGGCCCAUCGGGUGGGCCCAACACUCUAUCAAACGCAGGCUCGACCAUGGCUGGUCGGGUUGGGCCUAGGCCUUACGAGUGGGCUGAUUGGCCCGCCCCAAUCUAGCUGAACCCGAGCGGGUUAAGUCAACCCGCCCAAACGGGUCAUAUUUGGGUCAAGUCAAACCAUACCUAACCUGACUCGGUUUGCCCAAAAAAAUAAAGCAUUUUUUUUCGAAAAAAAAAAUAUUUUUUAAAAAAUUCGAAAAUUAAAAAAAAAAUUGUAGGGUUUGGUUAGGAAUUGUCAUAUCUUGUCUUCUUAGUAUAAUUAGACAUUUAUUUGCUUGUAUAUUGAUUAUAUCGCAUGUUUAAUUUGCAUAUUUUAUUAUGUUUAAUUGCACGUACUGAAGUUUAAUGCAAUUAGGAUUUUGGUUGCAAAUUGUUACUUUAAUGAUUGCGCACCCGCAUGAUCACCUCACAUGUUAGUGGAUAGGUAUAAAAUCAAUCCAAACUGUUUGACAAAAAUAUUUUCUUUAAAAUGAACAAUAUUAGGUAUCGAAAGUGCACUAAUUUGUCAAUUAGUGUAAUCAAGUCUCCGACCCUAAAUUAUCUGGUUGCGUAGGAAGUGAGGUAAACUCUCAUGCCUCACUUGGUUUCUAGCUAACUCUAAUAGGCUAGUGGCGAGUUCUUUUUAUGAAUUCUUAAAAAUUCCCUAAUGUCAUGCGAGGUAUGAGUUUGGGAGAGCUCACACCUAAUCAUGGGCCUUAGGUCCGUCUUUUAGGUAAUACUUCUAAAUAUGUUCCCUCCCCUCGAGGAGUAAAUCGCGACACGUUUGGCCAGUCACCGGCUGUUGCAAAGGCCUAGCGACCAAUGGAAAAAAAAAUGAGAAAAGAAUGAUGAAAAAUGACAAUAAAAAUAUAAAAAUUCAAAAAAUAUUUAUAAAUUUAAAGAAUUUUUUUCGCAUCAACUCUAGACGUGUCAUGUAGGAAGUUUAGUAUCCAAGUUAGCGAUUUCCGAUCAAAAUUGGCAGGAUAUAGUACAUUAGCAAAAUGUAAAAAAGUUUAGAAUUUAAUUGUAAAAUUAUAAGUUUAUGACUAAAUUAGUAAAAAUAUAAUAAAUUUAGAAUUUUUUUAUAAAAGACUUAACAUAAAUAUUAGGGCUACUUUACCAGUGAAUUGUGACAAUGAUGUUGUUGUUAUAUUUUAAUGUAAUGUCUGUGCCCCUAUACACUUGAUAAGUACAUCUCAAUAAUCAUGGUAAAUACAGACAAAUAUAGGUAAAAAUUUUAAAUGGAAAAAUGUAUUUCAUGUUGGAAUGAUGCCAUUUUAUUAGGUGUGGUAAGGUAGAAGAAAAGAUGCCCAUUGUUUCACUCGGAUAUACCUGUAAUCAAAGGUUUUUAUUGAAUCGUGUUUAGUAACGAUUUGGACAAGAUGCAAAUUACGUAACAAGAAUUUCUAAAUCUAUAGAAAAAGUAAAUGCGAGUAUUGAAAACUGAUAAAUUGAAAGGGAGAAAAAUACUUAAGUGUUUGUAUUGAUGGUUGUGUUCUGAACAAUUCAACAUGGCUUUAUGUGCUCCAAAAUCUGAUAAAUCAACCCAGUGGGUAGUAUGACCAAGCGACGGUUACUAGUCUGAAAGAGAACAUACAUCAUUUAUGGCAACAAGAGGAACAGUACUAGGCGAUGCAAUCAAGGCUCAACUGGCUUAGAUGGGGGGACAAGAAUACCAAGUUUUUCCAUGCCACCACUAUCCAAAAGAGACAGCGCAAUCGAAUAAGCAUGUUGCAGGAUGAGCAUCAACAAUGGGUAUGCAAACCAAACUGUUUGAAGAAAAUGACAUUGGAAUUUUUUAAAANNNNNNNNNNNNNNNNNNNNNNNNNNNNNNNNNNNNNNNNNNNNNNNNNNNNNNNNNNNNNNNNNNNNNNNNNNNNNNNNNNNNNNNNNNNNNNNNNNNNNNNNNNNNNNNNNNNNNNNNNNNNNNNNNNNNNNNNNNNNNNNNNNNNNNNNNNNNNNNNNNNNNNNNNNNNNNNNNNNNNNNNNNNNNNNNNNNNNNNNNNNNNNNNNNNNNNNNNNNNNNNNNNNNNNNNNNNNNNNNNNNNNNNNNNNNNNNNNNNNNNNNNNNNNNNNNNNNNNNNNNNNNNNNNNNNNNNNNNNNNNNNNNNNNNNNNNNNNNNNNNNNNNNNNNNNNNNNNNNNNNNNNNNNNNNNNNNNNNNNNNNNNNNNNNNNNNNNNNNNNNNNNNNNNNNNNNNNNNNNNNNNNNNNNNNNNNNNNNNNNNNNNNNNNNNNNNNNNNNNNNNNNNNNNNNNNNNNNNNNNNNNNNNNNNNNNNNNNNNNNNNNNNNNNNNNNNNNNNNNNNNNNNNNNNNNNNNNNNNNNNNNNNNNNNNNNNNNNNNNNNNNNNNNNNNNNNNNNNNNNNNNNNNNNNNNNNNNNNNNNNNNNNNNNNNNNNNNNNNNNNNNNNNNNNNNNNNNNNNNNNNNNNNNNNNNNNNNNNNNNNNNNNNNNNNNNNNNNNNNNNNNNNNNNNNNNNNNNNNNNNNNNNNNNNNNNNNNNNNNNNNNNNNNNNNNNNNNNNNNACUAUGACAAGGAGAUGCUCUUUAUUCGUAUUUGUUCAUUUCUGGUAGUGAAUGUCCUAUAUAACUCAUUAGCCAAGUUGUGGACAUGGCCAACAUUAAGGUCAUUAAAUUAAUCAAGUGGUGUCCUUCCCUAUGUCAUCUUUUCUUUUUUGUAAAUGACGAUAUCUUUGUUUUAGACGAAAAACUCCUGGAAUGCCAUAACUUAGCCAAUACGUUAAAUCAAUAUUGCCUAGGUACAGGACAAGAGGUGUGCCGAAACAAAUUUGGAAUUUUCUUUAGUAACGUUUGUCCUAAUAGCCUUCAGGUGAAUUUGGCAAGAGAAUUCCGAGUCGCUAUGUUAGCAAAGACUGGCAAAUACCUCGGCACACCAUCAAAUUGGGGGAAAUAAAAAAAGAAAAAAAGAAGAAGAAGAGAUGUUUGCCUAGAUUCUGGGUCGAGUAAACUCCAAGUUGGAAGGGUGAAAAUAACGGCUAAUUUUUAAAGGCAGUAAGGAAAUUUUGAUUAAAACAGUAGUACAAGCACUCUCACAAUAUGCUAUGUCUAUAUUUAAAAUCCUUGUGUCUAUAUGCAAUUCUAUAGAACAGAAAAUUGCUAGAUUCUGGUGGCAACCUCAUUGCAGCAAAUUUGGCAUACACUGGAAGAAAUGGGACACCCUAAAGAAUCGAAAGGACAAUGGGGGAUUGGAUUUUCGAGAUCUCAUUGCAUUUAACAAGCUUGACUGGGCAAAUAGGCUUGUCGUCUAAUACAACAACCUUCUUCCCUAUGGAGCAGACUUUUCAAGGGCCUGUACUUCCAUUCUACAAAAUUCUGGCGUGUAGAGAAAGGGACAAGACCCUCUUGGGGAUGGUAGAGUUUACUGCUAGGCCGAGACUCAAUAUUACACAAUCUCCAGUGGUUAGUCGGUGAUGGACAACGGAUCAAAAUUAGAGAGGAUAAAUGGCUUUCUAACGGAAUCAUUGGCGGGCCUGCACCUAGAGGCAAACUAGAGAAGGUGGUGGAUUUUAUUAUCCCAGACCAACAUACAUGCAAUGAAUCUCUACUUCGACAUAGUUUCGAUGAUCAGACGGUCGACGAAAUUCUCUCAAUACAGAUUCGACCUAACUGCACUACUGACCGAAUCAUUUGGAAGGGGAAACUCAAUGGUAUGUAUGGCAGUAAAGAGCAGCUAUAACUCUAUCAGAUCACAAGGCAACAGAGACACACAUAGCCAUGCUUCUUCAUCAUACCAAACCCCUCGAAAAAUGUGGAAUAAAAUUUGGACCAUGUAGAGUGCCCCCAAACUAAGCAUAUUCAUGUGGUUUCUAUGCCACAAUGCCUUGUCUACAAAGGAGAAUCUAUACCACAGGCACAUCAUUCCAGACCCAAUUUGCCGACUAUGUAAAGAUUAGGUUCCGGAGUCUACAAAACAUAUAUUCCUCUCAUGUACUUGGAUGCAAGCCAUUUGGUCUCACUCACAGGUCCAACUUACGACCCAAUUUCAUGGAGUUCAAAGAAUCGACGCUUGGCUAGAAGAUCUACUCAAGAACAGUGAUGCCAUACCUGAUUUAGAGACUGUGGCUUCCAUUCUGUGGCAGAUCUGGAAGGCCUGCAACAACUUUGUCUUCCGCCAGUAGAGAUCGAAUACCUAACAAGUUGUACAGAUGGCUCUCGCAAAUGCCAGAUCCACUCGGUGCUGUAACAGGGUGUCGUUGAAACAAGGAUUGCAGCCACCAGAUCUAAAUCAGAUAUGGCGACCACCAGAGCCGGGAGUUAUCAAAAUCAAUAUUGACGGUGCUUAACCAACAUUCCACAAUGAAGGCACAAUGGCCUACUUGUGCCACGACUCUUUUGGCCAACUGAUCGACGGUUUUAUCAGUAGCAUCACCGUCUUCUCGGCACUGCAAAUAGAGAUGCGGGCCUUCAAUCUUACCCUUAAGUUUUUGCUGCAGAAAGGGAAAGCUCAGGAUCACAUCUUGCUGGAAUCGGACUGCUUGGUUCUUGUGGAAGCCGUGCGAAACCCUACCUCGACACCUUAAGAACACAGAGGUCUGUUUGUUGAAAGUAUGGCAUUUCUUCCCUGUUUCCCUAAUCUCCAGAUCCAACACUGUUGAAGAGAAGCAAAUUUCAUUGUCGACUGGGCUACCAAAGCCCAUGGGCGUUCUUUACUUCCUUCGAAUUGGGAUAACUCCUCUCUGUUAGAGGAAUUAAACAUAUAUUAAAAGAACAGUUGAACACAGAAGUCGGUGAUAGUAGAAAAGCCAAACUUAAUGAAGUGGCUGGAGCAGAGGAAGGUCGUGAGCUAGCGAUCCAGUUGAACUGAUGAGCUGGCGAUCCGUGACAUCGAAACCUGAAACACAGAAGUUGAUCAAGCAAAUUAAAGGAGCUGCACAGCCAGAAUAAAUGCACGUGUGUUUCCAUAUUGGUUAUUCUGUUGUAACAAUUCUGUAACAGAAACAGUUGAACUAGUGUUGAGUAUAAAAAGGAUAAGAGAAUGAGAGAAGAGUGUGCGAAGUUUAUUUCUUGUUUUUCAAUCUCUAGUUUUCCUUUAUUCAUCUUGAGCUUUCUCUCCUACUUUUGUAUUCUGGAAAUGGUGAAGUCUUGUAAAGGAUGAACUUGAAGUUCUGAAGAAGAAAUAUAUCAGAGCUGAGGUAUUUUCAUUGAUUGUUCAAAAUCUAAACCUCUUUCAUAUAUAGAUCUUGUUCUAUCUUCAAUUUCUUCUCACUCUCCCCAUCAUCUUUUGAAUCUCCUUUACUCUGAAGCUUUGUAUAAUGGCUGUUCCUUCGUGCAUUAAUAAAUAAUACUGCUGUUUUCGACCAAAAAAAAACCACUUACAAUUAGUUAAUAUCUUAAUUAAUGAUUAAAAACCGCAUCUCUAUAAUAUUAGACUCUAAAUGUCGACCUUAUCCACAAACAAUUACAAUUCUUUAAUCGUUACUAGUCUUAAUCGUCAAUGGUUCCUUCACCUUGGCAUCUUCACUUUGUCUUCAGUUUUUGUAUUUAAUAUUUAUUGAUAUUUAUGAAGUAAUAAUUGUCGAUCAAUAUCGUCUAUCAAUAACUGUAUCAUGGUCAUCAAUGAUCGUAGUCAUCGACAAACAUUUUCUAUUGGUAACCCAUUGACGGUAUAGAAAUACUUAACACCGAGCUCUAUAUCUAUUUAAGUUGGCACCAUGUUGCCUUAAUUCCUAAAACAUUCCAAAAUUUAGGUCUAUCCCUACCCAANNNNNNNNNNNNNNNNNNNNNNNNNNNNNNNNNNNNNNNNNNNNNNNNNNNNNNNNNNNNNNNNNNNNNNNNNNNNNNNNNNNNNNNNNNNNNNNNNNNNCCACUACUCGACUGCUUAAAACACAGCACGAGUCAGAGGACUUACCUUGGUAUCAGAUUCCAUCUGCAUAUUAAUACAGUUCAAUAGGUACGCAAAUAAUCACAUCACCGAUCGAAGCAUCGAUCAAAUCGACCUAGUCGAUUACAUUUCCACCGGACCAUUUCUAGGUCAUUCAUCCCACACCAAGCAACUUUCUUAAAUUUUAAUAGCUUUAUGGUCACACCCGACCCUUUCCAGUAGUGGCUUUAUGGUCUCACCCGACCCUUUCAAGAUCUAGUGACUUUGCGGUCCCACCCGACCUUUUUAAGAUCUAAUUUAUGAAUGAAUCUUAAGAUUACUCAUAAAUUACUUCAGCACUAAAUAAAGUUCAAAUAAAUAAACAGACUACACCACGACGAUCAGCACAAAAUUCCGGUCAUCGACCAUCUCGGUUGAAUUUCCGGAAAAAUAAAUAAUUAAAUAAUUAAUUUCGAAAAUUAAAUAAAUAAUUAUACAAAAAAUCGAAUUUAGGCCCGUAAUGCCGAAUUGGAUGCCGCGACGAGCCCUAAAAAUUACCGAGACUCGUUCCAUAAAUAACAUGGUAUGCUUACUUGUUAAUGUCUAUUUCUAACCACCUAAUAUGCAUCAUUAAAUCUCUAAUUUAAUUGAUUUAAACUAAUCUAACCACCUAAUUACAUUUAAUUAAAUCUAACCAACCCUAAAUAUAAUUAGCAAACUAAGAAAGUAUUAGUGAGUAAAACUCACUUGGUAAAAGCAAAGACCGAAUCACCGCAACAGCGUCGCGGGCUUUCGACAACACCGGCGGGCUUGGACCGGGCCUUAAGCUUAGGCCCAACAAAUCUCAGCCCAACUGAGAUUUGUUCUUACUUUUGGGCCAGACCCAAGUUGGAUUGGGCCUGCUGCGAAGAUGGGCUUCAAGUUAUGGGCUGGGCUGCAAUUGAUUUGCUGGAAUUGGGCUUGACCAAUUAAUUUACUUGGACUGGACUGGGCUGACUUGCGGCCCAAAUGGGCUGAACAAACUGCAACUGGAAGCGGGCUGUUCGGUGGGCUACAGCUUUGGACCGUUGGGCUCGUGAAUUUGCUGGCCCAACCGUGGGCUUCUGAACUGACGGCUUCAAUUAGGCCUGACUUGCACCGAAUUCCGCUGGGCUGAUGAUGCGUGUCGAUCCACGAGCAAAGAUGGGAGACAACGCGAACGCUGGUCAACGAAGGCUUCGUUCGGUGGGGAUUUGACCAAGAUGGGGGCGUGCUGGCGUGGACGAUGGAGGGAAAAGCAGCGUCGAAGAAGUUGUGCCGUUGAUCUUCAAGCGUUGCUGGUCUUCAAGCUUCGCUGGCGGACGUGUGGAGUGGAGCUGAGGGAAACGAUGGCAAGCUGGCAGCUGGGGUUUUGUUGGAUGCUGUUCGGUCAACAAAUCAAAGGGGCAAAUUGCUGAGUUGACCGGUGUGUUGGCAGCGUGAGGAAGCUCAGUGGACUCCGCGACGAAGACUGGUUUCUCUCGCUGAUCGGUGGCAGUGCACUGGCAGUCAACGAUCGAGAUUAAUCCUGCUGAAGAUUUCGCUAGAUUGAAAAUCCCGUAGACUGGUUUCUCGAUGGAUUUGCUGGCCGAAGAUGGGGAAGUGGAAACCGGCACAUGGACUGGAGGCUCGGUGGAUUGUGGCUUCGCAUGGGGCAGCUUCGGUAAGUCUUCAACGCUGCUGGACUAGACACGAAGCAGUGGAGCUGCACGCGGUCAACAAUCUUGCUGAGAUUGACCAAAAUCUCGGUGGAUUGGUCUUCAAUGCAGCUGGCGGACGAAGGAAAAUUUUCGAAGGAAGCAGCUUGGUCUUCUUCAGUUGCUGUUGGAGGUGUCGCACGAAGAAAAAAGAUGGGAAGGGAAGAGAAGCAGCUCACGGCAGCAAGAUGGAGAGGAUGAGGAAGAGGUGGGGGCCCUUUGACAUGAUAUUUUACAAAAUAUCUCCCAAAAACCAUUCUUAGCCAUGUAUAGUUUCCUUGGCUUACAAUAGACCACUCAUGCACUCUUCUAGAAGCCAAAAUGGUCCAAAUGUUGUGGCUAGGUGGGGGUACACGAAUUUGGGGGAGGAUUGGCUUAAAUGAACUCAAAUUCUCUCUUGAAUUAAUCUCGAAUGACCUCAACAAAAAUCACUUGACCUCUGAAUGCCUCAAUUGAUAAUUUUCCUCAUCCCAUAAUCCAUCAUACUUCUCAAUUUUGCAACCAAAGAUCAUCUUCAACAUUUUCUGUACAAAAAUGACUCGGCGAUGACUUUUUCUCAAAAAGUGUCCGUGGGUCCUAAAAUUUAUUGUGACAUGACAAAACCUUCAAUUUCUGAAAUCGAACUUGAAUCAGCGGUUAAUUUCCAUUUGGCGCGUUUUUAGCGUGACCUAAGCUAUUUGGUGGUUUUCAGAACUUUUUAAAGUAAAUGACCCGUGGUCGAUUUUCUUCGAACCACUAUGAACCCAUUCGAGUCAAUGGCGGCUCUUGAUUGUCGUGAAAAUCUCGAUGAUUCAAAUAUGAAUACAAGAUACCAAAACGAUAGUAAAAUCAGAUUAAUGUCGGUCAACGAGAAUUUUCCAAUUUAGUGGAGUCACCCACGAUCUGCUAUACAUCUCAGUUGACCAGACCUAUCUCUGGUCUUAAAUCGAUUUUUAACUAUACCGCAAUGACUUCUAAAGAUGAGCACGGUCGAGAAGCCGAUUCCUGAUCGAAUUCUCAAGUUUAUUGCCCUAAAAUUUCUUAAUUACUUACCCAGACAAUCUAGUUAUCUCAAGAGUGAUCGGCUCUGAAAAUAGCCCUAUAAACACGUCAACGAAAUGGCCAAUUAAUUCAGUAGAAAACAGGUUGAGAAUUUCAAGAUGUCAAAUCAGCUUUCAGUUACUAUGGGGUGACUGUAAGUGUGGGGAAAAGGAUUAGGAAAAAGGGAAGCAAACAAGCGUAGUUGUUUGUGUUGGAAGGGGAGAAAUAAUGGAUAGUGUGCAGUGAUUUCUUUCUAAUUAUAUCUCAAGAUAAACAUAUACUCUCAUCAUUUUUUUCAAUGACGACAUACGUGUAUUUGGUCAUACAAUUUGCACUUGUACCUAUUCUUUUCAAAUAGAUGUGUCCUACUAUGACUAUUAAUAAGAUUUGCAUGUUAAUGAGAAUUUCAAAGGCACUUGUUAACCAUGACUAAUUAAGGAAGUUUCAACAUUAAAAAUACCAAUAUAGUUCUUUUGAUAUCUAAAACCUUCCUUACUAAAACAUGGAUGUUCCCAAUAUAAUUGGACUGCUUCAUUAUUUUGGCUUCUUAUGUUGUAAUCAAUGUCAUAUAUCUAUGCAUUAAAAUGGGUAGGUUGACACUUUGUUGACCACACAUAAGGGAGAAUGGAUGCUACUCUCUCUUUCACCCACUUCUAGUUUCUAUUUCCGCUUUCAAGCCCUUUUUCUCUUUACAUUUAGGGAAAUUUUUUCUUAUACUUAUGCCGUUGCCUACAAAUAGAACUUUAUAUUUGCUUGUAAACAUGACCAAAGCUGCUUGCUGCUGAGGUUGCCCGGUCCAAGCAAAGUGUUGCCAUGUUCUUCCAACCCUGGAAAUUGAGUGGUGUCGCGUCUAAUUCCGGGUCACGCAACAAUACCAAGUAUUGGCAUGAGGCCAUGCAACCCUGGCGAGGUAACACAAGGGUCGCAUGACCCUUAGAAAGAUCGGUCUUGCCUAGGGUGGCCCGAGCAAGGCGCCGCCAAAGUAGUAUGUAACCUCCAACCGAGACUUGUCUUGCAUAGGUUGCUGCCAACAACCUCAGCGGGUAGCUAGCCUAUGGUCGCCCGACCCUGUCUUUGAGAGCCUAGGUGGCUAUACCGACAUGGCCACCUCUCUCUCUCUCUCUCUCUCUCUCUCUCUCUCUCUCUCUCUCUCUGUAAAGAGCGCGCGGGAAAGGGUCAGUGCAAACCUGCGAGGGCAGAUGAGAAAAUCUAUUUAGUUGAUAAGGUCUAAAUGGAAAAAUGAAUAUAUUCUCUAAAAUGCAGGCAUAGUGAUGAAAAGGUUAAGCGGUAACGGACUUGCAUUGGCCCUUAGGGCUCAAAGCUGCUUUGUACGGCAUUCCUAUGCGUACCCCGCGGUUAAUAGUAAAAGAAUAUAGUUGCUAUGGAUAUCUCACAUGGAGAAGGUACCGAUAAAAUAAAAUAAAAAAUUAUACAAAAUUUUUUUUUAUAAUUUUCCCAUAUAGUCAUUUUAGCCAAUUUUGAUUGAAAAUUACUAAUGUGUAUGCCAGCUAUCUUACAUGGCAUAAUUGGGACUGAGACAAUCAAUGUUGAUGUUGAUAACUUUUGCAAUUUUUCUAAAUUUUUUCAAUUGUUUUUUUUUUCACUAUUCAUCUUUCCGAAAUGGUAGAUGAGGGUUGCCAAGGCCUCGGUGAUGGCCAGUGAACCUCUCCAACCCAUCAUGAGGGAAAAACAAAAAGAAAGAACAGAUAAAUAAAUUAUAAAUAAAUUCAGAAUAUAAAAAAAAAAAUUGCAAAUAUUAUCUAUAUCCAUGCCACAUAGAACGGUUAGCAUCAAUGUCAACAAUUUCUUGCCAAAAUUAGCUGAAAUGGGUAAAUUGAAAAAUCAUCAAAAGUUUUAAAACUAAAUUUGCCAAAUUAAAAAAUUUAUGAUUGAAUUGGUCAUUGUACAAGAGUUUUAGGACAUUUUGGACAAUUUUCAGUGAAUUCCGAUCAUCAUAUCUGGAGAAGGUGUCCUGCACUUGAUUGAGUGAAAAACUAAGAGAAAGAGACAACAGCAGUUGAGCAUACGUUUCGAAGCUCAGAAUAUAACAGUAUGUCAUGGAUUCCUACGGCAAAAUCACUACGAAACCCGAAUAAGUGUGGCACAAUCCGUCAUAAAAAGCAUAGGUUGGCCUUAUACACGUGAUGGUUACGUGAUUAUAAUUUGCCCGUGAAAAUCAAAGGCUCUACUGGCAAUGGCAUCUGAAAUUCUCCACCGAGGAGCCUUCUUUUGCAUAAGAGUUUGGAACAUCAUAAUUGUCUUAGCAUCAUAAACUUUUCGAAUUCAGCUAUAUAGGUGUUUACCGGCCGGCACAAGUGUUAGGACAAUAUGGAUGCAUCUAUCAAUCGCUCAUAUUUAUGCUUCCAUCACCGGCUCAUUGCCAAUUUAAGGGCUUUCUUCAUGCUCGAAUGGGUAGUAAGAGACAUUUAGUUCUGGUCCCCCACCUUUUAGCAUUCUGGGACCCUAAAGAAAUAAGCCCGAAAUCAAAAAGAAAGCAUUGAAAUUGGGCCAUCUUUGCCAAGAGAGGCCGCCUUCUCUCAGGCCAGCAUUCUUCUAUUUCUAGAACACCACACCACAUGCUGGGACAAUACCAAGCACUUUGUUACUGGCUCAUGAAAGAAUAGAAGGGAGUCUUUUAUUAUAACUAGCGGGACAUAAGGAGAAAGACUGGGAGGUCAGUAGCGGAAUGCCAUUUGACCUUACCGAGAGGUUCAAUAGCGUGUUCAGGCUCUUGGGAGAGGAUGAAUUCUCGGUCUACAGCAUCGAUAAUUGCAGCUGCCUAACAAGCAAACACUACCUAUAUAUUAUGUUCUAGUUUUCUUCUUGACUAUUCAAAGCAUCGAGAAAGAAAUGGUUUCAUGAAAGUUAUCUCGACUGAAAGCAGCUCUUCCACUCAUCUCAUUCUUGUGACACUUGUGAUUAGUUUAUCUACCAUUGACCAGUGGGCUAAGGACGCUGUGUUUGCAUUUUUCAUUAUUAUAUUAAAAUGGGAUUCCCAACCCUUAUUAUGACUAAUUUCGUGCAAAUUGGAUCGUCCAUGGGCAUUUCAUUAGGCUACACCCAUAGAGUGGUAGAUGUGAAACCCUCAGGUUACUUUUAGGGGAGGAGCAGCUCAAAUGAAAAUCGAUUGUAUUCAAAACAUUUCAUAAAUCAAUAAAUCUCUUAAGGUUAAUGCCUAUUCUCUGCUUGAAGAAAAUUCUAUCGGAUUCUAUGAUUUUGCUCUUAUUUGUCCUAGUUUUUAUGAAGUGUAGAGGCAAUUUAGUCAAUUUGAGAUAACCGGACCAGGCCCAUUUACUCUUUAACAGUAAAGGUCCUUAUGCGGAUCAUUUCCUUUUGUCUUAUAAAGACACGCUUCCGUGGACAAACCUGAGGGAUAUAUUCGAUCAAAUCUAAUAUUGAUUAGUCACAAAAUGGUCUGCGGCAGGAAAUGGAUAUGAGACCUUUGACUCGUUGAGAUUUGGGAUGUGUAAUCGGUCUUAUUCAAUAGGCAAACCCCUCCUCAUAAUGGAAAAAAAAAAACAGUGAACAUGUUGCAUAUUGUGGAAUCACAUAUAAUACAGGACCUGGAAUUAGAAAAGAUGUUACGCAAACCCACGAGGAUAUUCAUGGAGGAUCUGGCGAACGAAUCCUUCAUCACGGUAGAGAGAUUUGGGUCAGUGGAAAGAGUUUUCAUGGUGUGUGAAGAUGACAAGGCCGUGGACGUUGACUUUCAGAGAAGGAUGAUCGAUCGGAGUCCUUCCACGGCGGUGAAGUUGAUUGAAGAAGCCGAUCACAUGGCCAUGCUCUCCAAGCCUCACUAGCUUCGUCAAUGCUUCGAGGACAUUGCUAUUGAGGCACGGAGUACGAACUGAGCUGGAUCAAUUCGCACAUCGCACCAUUAACAAUUUGCCACAUCACUCUUUACUGUGCUGAUCCUGUGAACUGAACACCCCCGAUUGUAUCUCCUAAUCUCUCAAAUGUGGUUAAUUUUGCCCUUCUUAGCUCAAUUUUUUAUCAGAAUCUUGUCAUUUUCUCAAGUUAAAGGACUCGCAAACCAUUAAGUAGAUUCGUAAACAUGCUAAUUUUUUCUGCCAAAAGUGAAUGGGACAAUUACACUGGGAAAAAUCUACAUGGCAUUUUUUUUAUUAAAGGUCACGUGGUUUUUAAAUAUAUAUAUAUAAGGUGACGGGACAUAUGUGUAAGAAUAUUUAUCAUCAUUAGUUAGUGAAAAUUCUUUAAAAUUAGCAUUGAUCUAGUCUAUGCUGAGCUUCCCUGUUGCAAUUCCUUUUAUGUUAUCCAUGAAAGUUUUCGGUGGGCUAACGUUUUUUCAUUCAAGUUGUGGAGAAUAAUGCUUUUAGAACCAUGAGAGUUUACAUGAGUUAAAAGAACUUAUGGGGAGCGAAUUCACAAGAAUGAUGAGUUAAAUCGAACAUGGCAUCUCACACAAGACUCUUCUGGCUGAUUCGGCAAUACCUCUUGAUGGCCUAUAAUUGGGUUUCAUGCAUCUAACGAAAAUUAAAAAACUUGCUGCACGACGAGUAGGUCUAUCAAAAUGAGUCUUAAAUCUAUUUCCAACCCACUAGGCUCACGCACACACUCUCUCUUCCUCUUUUGCCUUAUACAAAUAUUUAAAAAAUCGAAAUUAUAAUUAUUUUUCUAUUAUUGUUUUUCUUUUUUUUUUCUUUUUUUCUUUCCUAUUUUUUCCUUUCUUCUUCCUUCUUCUAUCUUCUUUGGCCAAGGGCAAGCUUGAUCUCACCAAAUCUAGUGAGGUGGAGCCUCACUUGAGGCUGGCGAGGUUUGGCCCAUUAGAAUCGGGCGAGAUUUAUGUGGCAGCAUACAUGCCUAGGCCAAAAACCCUGCCUAUGCUUCUCUUGCAAGAGGUGCAAUGGCCCUAAGAUGUCGAAUAUUUUUUGCGUUGUUCUAUAAGUGGCUUAAUUAAUUAGGAAAAAUUAAUUGCUUAACAUGGUAUCGUAAUGAAGUUAAUGACUUUAAUCUAUUUAUUCUUUACACAAGUUUAAAUUGAUUUAUAUGUGUGUUAAAUUAUGACUUGAGUUUGAGCAUUUACAAAAAUGCGAUUCGCUGAACUCUUGAAAAUUUAUAAAAGAGUAAAUAUAAAAUAAAUAGAAGCAAAGUUUCUUCUUUGCAGCGGAAUCCGAAACGUGAAAGUGAAGUCCUUCUGCACCUUUGGCGUGAAAGAUGAAAUCCACGCGUGGAGACAAAUUGUGUGUGGGCUGAGGUCAAACUUUGACUUGGGCACACACACGGAUAAAAACAGAAUUUCUUUUGCAGUCUUCUUUUCUCCUGUGAGAAGCCGCCGAAGUUCUCUGCACGUAAAAGCCAAGCGUAGGUGGGCCCAGGUCAAACUUUGACCUGGGCACACGUAUAAAACACAAAUAUUAUGUAGGGUUUCUUUCCUUCGGUGAGUUGCUGCUGAAGCCCCACGUAGGCAGAACAGAAAGGAGUCGCACGUCCACGCAAGCCACACGAAGCUUUCCAAAGGAAUGCGAAGAUUUACAUACGUAGAGCGUUUCGUUUGAGUUUGAAUGUACGGUAAUUUUGUGUCAUGAAUUUAUAUUAAAGUCAGUUGUUUAUUUAUAAACACUUUGAAUUUGAGGUUAAAUCUAGGUGUGGGAAACACUUGAGCGUUUUGACCGAUUGUAAACUCUGAUUCUCCGAUUAUAAUGGAUUAUUUAUUACUGGCUCUCUCCGUGGACGUAGGUACCGAUACUCGGACCGAAUCACGUAAAUUUCCAAUAUCCUUAUUAUUUUUCAUUUAUUUCUCUGGUGAUUUCGCGUUGACGUAAAUUAUAAGAUCACGUUGUUUCCGCAUAUUAUAUUCCAACAAUGUGAAGGAGCUUCAAAAGAUUUCAGGGUCACGUAUCCAAUUUGCACUUUAAUGCCAUCUCCUCAUGGCUUGAGUUUAUUUAUUAAAAAAAAAAAGAAAAAAAAAAGAUUGCAUACGAUUUGAAAAGUACCUAUUAUGAGGAGCUUUGUGAUUAGUUCUCUGACUUUGAGAUAAUAAUAUCUAUGACAAAAUCCAUGUUCAUCCGUCUUCUGCAGUCCCGGCGAUAGAAGUCCCUCAUACGCUUUUCUUUAAAUUAUUUCUUUAGAAAAAGCAAUCUGGAGCCGUCAUGUAGUAAAAAGUAUGACGGUGGGCAGAAGGACGAUUACAUGGCCGAGAAGCUGCACCAAAACUGUUUGGCAGAGGUGAGACUCGCACAUAACUACUCUUCUCAUAAUAAUAGGCAACAAGGAAGCACAGACGACGUAUACUGAAGACCAGCGAGGUUGUUCAUGGAGGACUUAGCGAUGAGGAGAGAUAUGGGUCAGUGGAUCGAGUUUUGGUUCUGUGUGGAGAGGACAAAACCAUGCAAGUCGAGUUUCGGAGACGGAUGGUCGAUCAAAAUCCUCCCCAGGCGGUGAAGCUGAUUGGAGAAGCCGAUCACAUGGCCAUGCUCUCCAGGCCGCAUGAGCGUUGUCAAUGCUUUGACGACAUUGCUAAGAAUUACUGUUGAGAAACAAAGUAUGAAGUACGUUGGUUCAAUUCGCAUUUCAAACCAUUAAAAUCUGCCACAUUACUGCUACUAUGGUAAUUCUAUGCAGUAAGUAAGACCAUCGUACAUUAAUUAACUAUUAAAUAAAAAUAUUCACAUCAAUGCCAAUCGUGCCACGUAAAAUGACUAGUAUCCAUGUCAAUAAUUGUUGGCAUAAAUUGAUCGGAUGGAUUCAAUUAAUACCAAUGUGAAAAGAUUUAUGAUUAAAUUGGCCCAAUUAAAAAAAUUAUAAUUGAAUUAGUAUCAAUAUAAUAGGUUUAGAAAUUUUUGAGAUUUUUCCCUAGGAAUUGCAAAUGGGGAUAUAAGGACCGAUUUCGGCAACAAUUAUAAAACAUUAUAAAAUUAACAAUUGCAUUUAAAAAUAGUAUUCGUAGUACUCAACAAAUCCUAUGAAUUCAAACUAUUUGACUUUGACUUUCAUCUUCCUCAACUGCCGCCACUUGAAUUCCUUUGUCCGAGUAAUUAUCCCUUUUGAAACGGUUCAACCUUUUCUUUCUCCACGGCGGCUGUUUUUCGUUUUCGAUAAUUUCAAAGGCAGGAAAAUCGCAGUAAGGACAAGGACAGUUGAAAAAAGUAGCGCGCAUGUUCUCUCCACGAUACAUUGCAUGAUGGCUUGGGCCAAAAUGGGACGGUUCGAUGCAAUGUAUAUGAGUAGGCGAAGAUGUAACUUGGCCAAGAAGACAUGGAGUAGAUAUUGGGGCUAUCCUCUUUUGUUUUUCUUUUUCUUUUCCAAAGAAUCGUGAAAAAGGUUGCUUCGUUAUAUCCUAUGAAGCUUGUCCAUGCUUCCUUGUCGUGUCCGACACGUGUCCAAGCGUGUCGACGUCCGACACGCUCCGACACGUGUCGGACACGCGGUCAACGCGUGGUUAACUUUUAUUGACACGCGUGUCGACGCAUGUCUGGAAGGAGGGUGAAGGCGAGGGAGGGCGAGGGAGCAGAGGCCGCGAGCGCCGGCGAGACCAAGCCACGAAUGGAUCACCAUGACGGCGAGAGACACUAGAGAAAGAGCCAAACAGAGAGAAAGAAGAGAGAAGGCAAACUCCUGCCGGCGAGACGAAGCCACGAACGGACCACCGCGACGGCGAGAGAUGACCAGAGAGAGGUGAGGGCCGUCACUGUUGCAAUGGAUCGGCGACGAGAGGAAGAGGAGAGGAGGGAAGGGGGUCGUGCGGCGCGGCAAGGAGGAUAGGAAAAGGGUCGCGGCUCGCUAGAGUUCUGAUGGCGUGAGAGAGAGGAUGGGGGGGGAGGGGAGUGACAACUCACCUGUCACUGUCAGGAUGGGGGAAGUGACAGCUCACAUGUCACUGUCAAGUGGGGGAGGGAAAAAAAGUAAAAUCAACGUGGGGAUGAAGGGAAAAGGACCAACGAAAGAAUGGGUUGAUUUUGGAGAUUUUUUUCAAUCGGAAAAUUAAAUAAAUAAUUAAAAAAUGAUUUCGAAAAAUAAAAAUAUUAAAUUUUGAGUAAUGAUAAAUUUUGGUUGUUGUAGAAAAUCAUAGAUUUAUUUAAAUAAAUUGAUUCUAAUUUCUUAUUAAUUUUUAGUUUCAUCGAUAACUUUUGUUAAAAUUAAAAAAAUGUUUCGCAUUAAUUAUGAAUAUAUCUUUCGAAUUUCAAAUAAAUUGAUUUGUUAAUAUUAUUAGUAUAAAUUUAUUAUAGGCUCUUUUUUAAUUAAUUAUUUAUUUAGAAUUUGAAUCAAAUUAAUUAAAAAUAAAAAUAUGUAUUUAAUAUACAACGUAUCGCAACGUGACAACUCACCUGUCGCUGCUGUUAGGAUGGGGGAAGUGACAGCUCACAUGUCACUGUCAAGUGGGGGAGGGAAAAAAAGUGAAUUAAACGUGGGAGUGCAGGGAAAAGGACCAACGAAAGAAGGGGUUGAUUUUGGGGAUUUUUUUUAAUCGGAAAAUUAAAUAAAUAAUUAAAAAAUGAUUUCGAAAAAUAAAAAUAUUAAAUUUUGAGUAAUGAUAAAUUUUGGUUAUUGUAGAAAAUCAUAGAUUUAUUUAAAUAAAUUGAUUUUAAAUUCUUAUUAAUUUUUAGUUUCAUCGAUAACUUUUGUUAAAAUUAAAGAAAUGUUUCGCAUUAAUUAUGAAUAUAUCUUUCGAAUUUCAAAUGAAUUGAUUUGUUAAUAUUAUUAGUAUAAAUUUAUUAUAGGCUCUUUUUUAAUUAAUUAUUUAUUUAUGAAUUUGAAUCAAAUUAAUUAAAAAUAAAAAUAUGUAUUUAAUAUACAACGUGUCGCAACGUGUCGAAAUUUUCUAUUUUUUAGAAAUGACGUGUUGUGUCGUGUCGAACACUUGUGUCGUGUCGCGUGUCGGUGCUACAUAGGUUAUAUCUCAAUUUGUUUUUCUCCUGUUGCACUGAUGAAAUUUUAGAAGGUAGCGCAAAGAUAAGAGAAAAGAUGUCUAUUUUGUGAAGUACAUAUCUGGAUAAGUUGGCAUUUAUAUUUGUUUUCCAAGAGUACCCUUCUAUGUAGUUUUCUUUUGUUUCAUUUAAUAUGACCUAAUAUCAAAACUAUGGGGAUUAGCAACAAAAGUAUUAUAUCUUCAACUGAGAAAAUUAUCAAAAGUGAGCUUUAAGUUUAAGCCUAUCAAUAUAUUUAAUUAGAUAUAUCUUUACUAAAAAAUUUAUUAAAAAGUUUAAGUUAAUAAGUUAUGAGUAAAUUAGAAUAUAUAUUAACUGUUCUAUUUCAUAUCAAUUUUUCAAUAUUGGACUUUUAUAACACAAUUCACACAUGUAUUGCUAUCUCUCACAUGAGAGCUCAAUUUUACGUCUCCUUCCCAUUUGUUCAAGUAUCUUUGAUGUCUUGACCACAUCUGUAAAGAUCCAUAAUAAUUUAUUAGGAUGCACAAUAAAAGUCCGAUAUCUUUAGCCGGGAAACUUCAAAGAGAGAACUCAAGUCUUAAUCCGGCAACUUAUUUACUUUGACACAUUUACUCAAAAGUUUAUGUUAAUGAUUUAUAAGUUAUGAACCAAUUAUGAUACAUAUUAAUAGUUCUACACUCACGUACGUCUCAGCAGAAACUUUUCUUUUUGAUCUGACUAAUUCAUCUUCCUUGAAAAAUAUAAAUCUCUUUGUCUACACGCAGUGGCUAUGGCAAGCGUGACCUUUAAAAAUACGCUAGGUGAAAGAUACUGAAAUUUGAACAAUAAAUCUAUCACACUCCCAAAAUAAACGUUAGCGUGUUAAACUUCAGUUGCUGCUUUCACUUUUUAGAAUAAUACCUUUGUGAACUUUCAACGUUGAAAUGGAAGUUCGCGAGAACAGUCAAAACACGUCUCAAUGCCACCGGAGUCCAGCAAUAAAUUUUCAAGAGCGACAAAAGGAAAAGCAGGUAGGACAAUUUUCCACAGUAUGAUCGAUCAAGGAAGGUUCUGCAUUUAUAUUAAUUUUCAUCAGAAUUUUUGUUGGCAUCAAUGUCAAUUCAUCCUUCUCCUCCUAAGCACCAAUCAUCAUUUAAAUACAAUCACAGAAGACACUAACAAAGCAAACCCAGUGGUCUUGCUGUGGGGAGCCGAAAGCAUGAAAAACUACCAUUUCGUACUCGUACAUGGCGCCUGCCACGGCGCGUGGAGCUGGUACAAGCUCAAGCAUCGGCUCGAGUCAGCCGGCCACCGCGUCACAGCGCUCGACCUCGCUGCCUCUGGCACCAACACAAAGUCCAUACACGAUGUCCUCACGUUCCGCGAGUACACCGAGCCACUGCUGGAGCUCCUGGCCUCACUCGGGGCGCACGAGAGGGCAAUCCUCGUCGGCCACAGCUUGGGCGGCUUGAACUUGGCUCUCGCUGCCGACAGGUUCCCAGACAAGAUAUCGGUAGCUGUUUUCCUGGCGGCUUUCAUGCCAGACACCGCACAUAGGCCGUCAUACGUGCUGGAAGAGGUAAAUCUCUGCUGAACGCGCGUUAGAUUCUCAAAAUGAAGUCGUCUUUCUUGCUUUUGGUUAAAGUGGACCUUUGCCCUUUCGAUUUUGGAGAUUUUACUCUGUUUCAGUUGGAAUUCAUCUAAAUAAUCAACUCAUAUAUGUCUCUAACCCUACAUGCAUGAGCUCAUUUUUAAUGAAUUUUGUCCCUUGCGAUGGAAGUACUGCGCGAGGGCUCUGGAGGGAGCAUGGUUAGACACUUCUUUCACGCCCAUCGGAAAGCCUGACAAACCCUUGACGUCCAUGUUCUUCGGCCCCGACUUCUUGUCAUCCAAGCUCUACCAGUUGUCUCCUCUUGAGGUACGUUUUCACUUCCGUCCAUUGGCAUCAACGAAGCAAAUCUCCUCACGCUUUAAAUGGUUUGACUUCAACUCAAUUUACUCCAAAAGCUUGAGAUGACAUUACCUUGAAUAGCAAAUGACUACCGUAAAUACCACUUUUUCGUGUCCUUUUCUUGAGGGUAGCAAUGGAUGAACCUAGCCGGAUCAUUUCAUUACAGUCUAAUAUUCUUUUUGAUAUGAUCUCGUCAUUUUGUGAGUUUUAUCCAUUUGAGAUUAGAAAUUAGGUAUGAACUCGUCCUAUAGGACUUGAGAUUGGUUAAGAAUUUUGUGGUUGGGAAAUCCAAUGCCCAUACUUGAUACGUGUAACGAUUAAAAGGUCAUUUGUUUCCUUUAUAUAUCUUAGGUGAUUUAGUAAAUACACAUAAUUAUUAUCUUCGUUAGAAUUCAUAACGGUUUUCUUGCACUUUUUAAGUUGCCCUUACUCUGAUAAAACCCUCAAGCUCCCUCAUCCAUUUCCAGGCUAUAAAAGGGGGAUCGGGUUGCUUCACGAUAAAUUCGAGAAUACUAAGACUAUUAGAAUGAUAACCACCAUUUCACACAUAACUCUUUAGUAAUAUUAUAACCUUAGAUUUUUAUGAUUGUCAAUUCUACAUUCUUUCAAUUGUCCAUAUGGUCCUUAUAGAAUCCUAAUUGAAGAUUUACAAUUCAUAAGUUGUGAAGAUAUUUAACAAUAUGAUUUUUAUAAAGUGUUGUUGCGAGUUGCCAAUACCUUACAAGAACGUAACUACCUUAGUGAGGUGUGUUUAGGAUACUAUAUCAAAACCCUUAAUAAGCUUGGAACGGGUUUGAUAAAAAAAACGUUAAGUUAAUGAGACGGGUUCAAUAUUAACUAUUCCAUACCCAUCCUACUUCUGUCUCUAUUACAAACAUGACCACAGUAGAAGUGGAAAAAACCGAACACCCAAAAAGAAAGUGUUGGGAAUUACUGAUCCCCAAAAACCGGAUUCGACACCGAAUCGAACCCCUAAAUCAAUGUGGAAGACGAAGCCCGGGAAAAACACGCAUCACCGAUCGUAAAGCACACCACGGAUUCGAGCGUACCUUGUUAGCCACAGAUUAAACACCAAUGCCGAAGAAGAGGAAGAAAUUCUGGCCCCGUUCGAUCUGAUGAUGACUUGAAGGAGAGAAAACAGUGCCUUGAACUUACUGUUCCUUUUGGAGGAAGAGAGAACGCGCGGGAGAAGACGUACGUUGAAUUGUCAAACGUUGUCUUCUCUCUCUCUCUCUCCUCCCUUUUAUACCUCUCCCCCUCCACGGGCCCUAUUCCCGUGGGCCGGGCCCUUUGGGCCCAAUUUGAGCGGAUGGGCCAACUCAGGCCCAUCUCAUAAAUCUAUCAUCUCCCACUCGCACAUGGUGGUACAAAACCAACAUGGGCGGACAGGCCCUACUUAGCCUCAUUUGAGAAAAAUCCAUCAUAGACUUUCUCUUAACAUGGUGGGUCGAACAUAAUCCUCUUUACCUCUCUUCAACAUUCAUACCGGUGAAUAAUCCGUGCGACCAGCAUACUUUGAGAGCUCGACUACACCUACACCUANNNNNNNNNNNNNNNNNNNNNNNNNNNNNNNNNNNNNNNNNNNNNNNNNNNNNNNNNNNNNNNNNNNNNNNNNNNNNNNNNNNNNNNNNNNNNNNNNNNNNNNNNNNCUGGAGCUUGGUAAGAUCUUGGUGAGGCCGGGUUCGUUGUUCUUGGAAGACCUGACCACGUCAAGCAACUUCACCCGCGAAGGGUACGGGUCCACGACCCGGGUCUAUGUGGUGUGCAAACAAGAUCUGGGAAUACCCGCAGAGUUCCAAAGGUGGAUGAUCGCAAGCGGCGGGGCGCACCACGUCGUGGAGGUGGACGGGGCGGAUCACAUGGCCAUGCUCUCGAAGCCGCAGGAGAUCUGUGAUUGUCUGUUGGAGAUUGGGGCCAAAUACGAACGUGCCUAACAUUUGCCACGGCAUUAGGGGGCUUUGGUUCUUCUCGAUGGUUUGCAAUUUCAUUUGUCGGAUUCUUGAGUUUGGUUUGUAAUUCCUUUUCAGUUGUCGCGUCGGUGUAAUCCAAAUCCAGCAACAGUCCGACCCAACCAAUUCAAUGCCGACGAAUGAAUUGUCGUUUUUUUAGCCCCAGCGUCGCACUCAGCAGUCAAUUCGUCACGUGAACUGUCC
RNAcentral lists this long non-coding RNA (44372 nucleotides) under Eucalyptus grandis. RNAcentral describes it as "long non-coding RNA (EGRA_LNC005586)". Lineage: Eukaryota; Viridiplantae; Streptophyta; Magnoliopsida; Myrtales; Myrtaceae. The record is from RNAcentral.